This 60623-nucleotide long non-coding RNA is filed under the name Triticum aestivum (bread wheat). Its description in RNAcentral is "long non-coding RNA (TAES_LNC015280)". The stretch from base 16635 to 16749 matches the Rfam family "MIR1120/MIR1122 microRNA precursor family". Lineage: Eukaryota; Viridiplantae; Streptophyta; Magnoliopsida; Poales; Poaceae. The record is from RNAcentral.
CUAUUCACAGGGGUGGUGGUCAGGUCAUUCCCACGGCCAGGAGGGUCAUUUAUGCUUCUCAGCUGACUGCCAAGCCAAGGCUGCUGGAGCCUGUGUACCUGGUUGAAAUCCAGGCCCCGGAGAAUGCGCUUGGUGGCAUCUAUGGUGUUCUGAAUCAGAAGAGAGGGCACGUGUUCGAGGAGAUGCAGAGGCAAGGUACCCCGCUCUACAACAUCAAGGCCUACCUCCCCGUCAUCGAGUCCUUUGGGUUCUCAAGCACCCUGAGGGCUGCGACGUCCGGCCAGGCCUUCCCCCAGUGUGUGUUUGACCACUGGGACAUCAUGGCUUCCGAUCCUUUGGACCCCGGCACCCAGUCUGCGACGCUCGUCACGGAGAUCCGCAAGAGGAAGGGGCUCAAGGAGCAGAUGACCCCUCUAUCCGAUUUCGAAGACAAGCUCUAAAUUUUUGGUGCUGUUAUCCCUUACCUGGUCUUGUGUUGUUAAAGAGAGCCGCACUAUUUUGUAUCGAUGAGUCUUGCUGUUAAUGACCUAUUUGUCGUGAUACUGGGAACUAUGUUUUGAGAUGUCUGGUGAUGUAACGGAUGUUUUACUUAGAUUAUGUAUCUGUUGUCCACUGGUUCUUUUGCUCUUGUGUUUGAUCUUUAGAUUUGCCUGAUUCUUCGUCGAUAUAAUCUUGCUUUCUCAUGAAAAAGUUGCAUCUUCUGAUCAGUGGUCACUAUUCUCGUUCGUUGACAGUUAAGAAACUGUUUUGUUUGCAUUAUUUUUGCCUGCUCUUAUUAUUAUUUCCUUGUGCACUAGCCUCCACCCUAUGUUCCUCAGCAGCGUGUUUUAUGCCCUUCUUAUUACAGGCACUUCAUGGUUGUUUAAAUUUGUAGCAAAAGAUGUGUUCAUGAAAGUAGAGGCUGCUCUCUAUAAUUUCCUGUAUCCGAGCAUGCAGCUUCUUUCCUCUAGGAUUGCCGUUCUGCCGGUCUCCCUGCCCCCUUGCGAGUCCCUCCCCUUGUGGCCUCCAUCUCCCUUGCUGCCGGUAGCCAUGGUGUUCGUGUUCGGUGGAAUGGUGCUUUGAAUUCUAGGUGAAGUUUUCUCCACGGUCACUAAGGUGCCUCCCAGAUCUGGUGGUCUCAUCGGUGGGGCAUCUUCUUCUCUCCCUUGGGGCCAUGCAGGUGGCAAAGAGGUUGAGAAAAAGUUUACCUCCGGCGAGGGAUACUUUGGCGCCCCCUUGCCGGUUCCAUGGCGAAGCUUAGACCCGUCUGAUUUGGUGGAUAAGAAGAUGAGGAGAAGGGAGAUGGAAGCUGCAAAUGAGGUUGGUGUUCUUUAUCGAGGUCUUUGUGGCAGAGCUACGAUGCACGCCGGCUGCCACCCUCCACCGCCUCGCAAUCGACUCUUCCAGCUGAAGGGCGACCACUCUUAGUCCUUUUGGCCUUGAUGCUUAGGGGGAGGUAGUGCAACUCUGACCAGGUGUGGCGGUAUCAAUGGUCUCAUUCUUAGGCAUGCGUCUCUGCGAAAAUAGGGCUAUGGAGGCCCCGUCGUCCCAAGUGGCGUAGUCCCCGAUGAUGGUGAGAUUGGAACCAUGAAGGAGUUGUUUUGCACCCAAUCGUGUUUUCUCUUCUUUGUCUGGGGUCCUCUUUGCAGUCACUGACUAAGUUGAAUUUUUGUUUCUCUUGAAGGCCUGAUGUAAAGUGUACACCGAUGCUUAUCUAAUGAAAAAGUCUUGAACCUUCGGAUCCUCUGUUAGAAAAAAAGAUACCGACUACCUGCUGAGCUUCACUGUACCAUAGAAAAAUGUGCAUACCUUCUCCGGACCAACUCUCGUGCGUACCUGACGCGUAUCGCUAACAUGUUUCCAAGUUGUUAAUGCCCACGUCGGCCUAGAACAACCCCUCUGCGUCAAAAGCUCCCUGGGUUGGCUUGGCUCCAACGUCGCCGACUCAUCCUCCCCAACUCCAAUGCGUCUUUCGCCGAGUGAUAAAGAAUGGUUUGGUGGGCGCCAAUCAUGAGAAAAAAAAUUGUUUGUUGCCGUGAGCGUCGAGUGUCGGCGGCCAGAGGAAGACCGUGUCAUCGGCAGGCUUCUCCUCCUCGGCGUCUUCAUCGAUAUGCUUCUUGGCAACUCGAUCAGUUUCAAGACAAAAUCUGGUGCGCAGCGCGCUUAACAACAAGAAGAACAUCGUGUGCAGGAUUACUGCCCCAGAGGAUGAGGUGAUGUUGGAGUGGAGCCAUGGGAGCGAGCGAUCUUCGAAGGUGCAGUUCCAGGCGACAAUGGGAUCAACAAAUUGGACACGUGGCAACAACCCUUGUGAGGUAUGGAUCGGAGUUGGUUUGGAGACGGUAAGCACAUGGCCCAAAUUUUGGUCACAUGUUAGGGCAUCUCCAACGCUAUCCCUGUAAUUGGACACAAUAUUCAUCCACGGACCACGUCUGAAUGCGUCCAGGGGCAGGAUACGGGAGCCGGUCAUCCAACGUUGUCUCUCAAAUAGGCAUUAAAUCCGGACAACGGUGGUGGGCUAGGCGGACCUAAAGGGAAAAUCACAUGGGCUGGGAGGACAUGUGGUCCAACUGACAGUGGGUCAAGUGAACCUCCGCAUGAUGUCCAGACUCCCGCAAAGACCUUGAUUCCAGUUCGGGGGAAAACUGAUAUGCAAAGUAGCCCGUGAAUGUUUAGGGAACUGCAUUGGAUGGCAAAAAGUGUUCGGACCACGUGGUCUGGAUCUUUAUGUAAGCUUUGCAUUAGGGCAAUGUACAAUGGUGGCAUAUGGAUACUGAUGUCCCAUGACAAAAAAUAACUUGAGGCAUCUAUAUUGAUUUUUUCUCGCCAACACAAGCUACUACCAGUGAGUCUCAUCAAAGAAUAUAAAGUAGACUCCUACUACACAUGCAACCUUACUCUUCACUUCAACUUUUUCAACUUUAUGCAUCAGAUCACACUUUUUCCCCAAACACCUGCCUCCUACCGAGGAUCCCGCCACCCCAUUCGAACCUACUUUUCUUGACUUCCGAUCCUACAUGGCCUAUGGGGCAUCACCCUAGCUAGGGCUAUGCAUUGGCCAUGCCCUUACUAAUGAAGCUAUGUACCUAGGGUAGGGUCAUGGACCUGUCCCAGCUGCCCUACCCAAGGACAUCUCAAGAAGAAAUCACCUUCCAAUCGACUUGGAGGUGUUCCACUCGACAGACUCGAAGACACUCGACCAAGAAGCAAUCACUCGACCAAUACCAAACCACUCGACGGCCAGGAGACCUAAAGGCACUCCGCACGCUAACGGUCGGUUAUUAAGUAGCUUUUAUGGUCAUCAUAUCACUUUAUUAGGGGUGUUACCAGUAACGCCCGACCUUAAUGUAUUUAAAACCCUGCACAACUGAGGGCCGGAGGGGUCCGACAAACUCUAUAUAAGCCACCCCCUCCUCAGUGUAAAGGGUUCGCACCCCUGUAAUUCAUACAUGCAUAAUCCAGUCGACCGCCUCCGGGCUUCGAGACGUAGGGCUAUUACUUCCUCCGAGAAGGGCCUGAACUCGUAAACCUCGUGUGCUUACAACUUCUCCAUAGCUAAGAUCUUGCCUCUCCAUACUUACCCCCCUACAUUACUGUCAGACUUAGAACCACGACAGUUGGCGCCCACCAUGGGGCAGGUAUUUUAGUGAUUUGUUGGAGGAGUUGCGAUCUUUUCCGAUCCAAAUCAUCAUGGUUUCUGGCGGAGUUUUGGUGGAGGGCCGCGUGAUCCGUCUCGGCGCGCUCACGUUCAUCGCCGACGAAUCCGCUUGGCUUCAGGAGGCUCCGCUCGACGUGGACGCACUUCCUGUCCGCGGGGCAACGCACUUUAGCGCGUGCGUCCGCGGCGUUCUCUUGCGGCAACCGUCGACCCCGUACCGGUCAGCUCCUGUGUUGUCCUCCCUCCCUGUUUCCCGCCGGCGCAAGCGCUCCGGUCGGUCGAGACUUCAGCGGUGGGUGAGACACGCGGUGGCACGCCAGUCGGCCACCCCUCAAGUCGCGGCGAUCAAGCCCGACGAAUCCCUCUAUGGCCUGUUUGAUCUGUCGACUGGCUCCGCAGAGACCGCAUCCGAGUGCGACAGUAGUGAUCCGGCGGCAGAGGUUCUGAUGGUCGAUGGACCGCCCAGUCCUCCCGGUUUUCCCCCGCACCGACGGAGGCGCAGGUGAAGGCGACCCGUCGCAUCCCCAUGAGGAAUAUCUCCUCGAGCCUCUCACGUCGCUGCAGAGAGAAGAACUUCGUCGCCGGAACAUGGAUGCACUGCACACUCUAUCGUUGGAGAAACCCCCGAGGCUCGUGCCUUGGAGGACGCGCGCUUGACAAACUUGGCCGAGCGCACUCGACUGGAGAACCUCCAGCGAGCACUCGACGAGCGUGCGUGACAACGGGUUCCAGAAUCCAGUCGACGUCAGCUCUUUCCGCCCCCGCAAGUAUAUCGAACUCUGAUUCAGAAUUUAACAGCUGCAGCCCGUAUAGCAGAGUCGAUUCAGCCUUCCCAGUCGGAGGCUGGCAGAGGCUUGCUGCAGAUCAGAGCGUUACUCUGGGCAGCAGGAGACCAGAAUUCCGCUGUUUCUCAGUUGUGGAACAGGAUUCAUAGCAGAUCCAUUGCUGCAGACACAGUCCAGUCGGCUCAUAGCCCAAGAUCGCCCCCGAGGCGUGAGGGACGUGGGGACCGGCGUAAUCAGUACGGGAACCGUGAGCAGUAUGAUCACCGAUUCGAUCGUGACGAUCGACGUCGAGUGCCCACCCCUCCCCCGAGGAGCGGGUCGUAUGCGCCUCGACAGCAAGAUGACAGGCGCCCACAUAGUGUUGGGCGAAGUAUUCCGGUCGACCCCAGGGAACCAGGCUUUGAUGCGAGAUCCAUUCUCGUUCAAGGUUUGGUCGACAGGAACAUGGCUCACCGAGAAGGUCACGACAGAGAUGCACCUACCAGCAGCAGAGUACAUGUUUCGGGGCCAGAGUGCUUUAGUAGAGCCAUCAGGGUCGCUGUGAUUCCUCCCAACUUCAGGUUGGCGACUGGAGUCAGUAAGUUCACUGGUGAGUCCAAACCCAAUACUUGGCUUGACGACUACCGAGUGGCCGUCCAGAUUGGCGGCGGCAAUGAUGAAGUGGCCAUGAAGCACCUGCCUCUCAUGUUGGAGGGCUCGGCCAGAGCGUGGCUGAAUCAAUUAGCACCCAGCAACAUUUACACUUGGGAAGAUCUCGCCCGAGUGUUUGUCACCACAUUUGAAGGAACAUGCAAGCGACCGGCAGGGCUGACGGAACUGCGGUCUUGCGUGCAGAAGCCGAAUGAAACUUUGAGGGAUUACAUCCAGAGAUGGAUCACGUUACAUCACACAGUAGAGAAUGUGCCUGACCACCAAGCAGUCUGUGCCUUCAAAGAAGGCGUCAAGUACAGAGAACUGAAUCUAAAAUUCGGUCGAACUGGAGAUAUGUCUCUGAAUCGGAUGAUGGAGAUUGCCACCAAGUACGCUAAUGGUGAAGAUGAGGAUCGACUCAGGAGUGGCAAGCUCAAGCCAGUCGCUCAAGAAACCGGAGGAAAUUCCAAUCGGAAACAGAAGCGGAAAGCCGAGCCAGCUGCUCCUGGGGAAGCCUUGGCUGUAACUCAAGGAAAGUUUAAGGGGAAACCCAAAGGACCUUACCCCAAGAAAGUUAAAGGCCAAGAUGGAAAUGAUGUGUUGGAUUUGCCAUGUCACAUCCACACCAAGAAAGAUGAAGAGGGUAAGUUCAUUUACCCAAAACAUACCACUCGACAGUGUCGGCUCUUGAUCCAGCAGUUCCAGGGCAAGCAGCCCAAAGAUAAGGAAAAGGAGUCGGACAAAGUUGAGGACAAAGAAGACAGUGACGAUGGAUACCCCCAGGUCAAUUCCACCCUGAUGAUUUUUGCUGAUGUUGAAAGCAAAAGUCAACUAAAAGUUAUCAACCGUGAGGUGAAUAUGGUUGCUCCGACAACACCCAGUUAUCUGAAGUGGUCUCAGACUGCCAUCACAUUUGACCAGUCCGAUCAUCCAACGCACAUUGCCACCCCUGGGAGGCAAGCUUUGGUGGUCGACCCAGUUGUUGAAGGCACUCGACUGACCAAAGUCUUGAUGGAUGGUGGUAGUGGUUUGAACAUAUUGUAUGCUGAGACGUUGAAAGGGAUGUGCAUUCCGAUGUCCAGACUCAGUGCCAGCAACAUGAGUUUCCAUGGAGUCAUUCCUGGAAAGAAGGCUAAGUCACUCGGCCAGAUUGCUCUUGAUGUGGUUUUCGGUGAUUCCAAGAAUUACCGCAAAGAAAAUUUGAUGUUCGAAGUUGUAGAUUUCCAAAGUGCGUAUCACGCUAUUUUGGGCAGGCCGGCUUAUGCACGCUUCAUGGCUCGACCAUGUUAUGUGUAUCUCAAGUUGAAGAUGCCUGGUCCCAAAGGUGUGAUCACUAUUACGGGCAAUCAGAAGAAAGCAGAAGAAUGUUUUCAGAAAGGUUCAAAGAUCGCUGAUGCUCAGAUGGCAGUGGUGGAGCUGCAGGAAUACCAGAAGACUGCAGACCCGAGUGAUUUGUUGCAAGCCAAGAAGCCCGCUAUAGAAUCAGCUUUUCAGUCGUCUGGCGAAACGAAGACAACUCACAUCCACCCGACCGAUCCCAGCGCUGCUCCAACUCAUAUCUCAACAACACUUGACUCCAAAUAGGAAGAAGCGCUCAUCCAGUUCCUCCGUGAGAACUGGGACAUUUUUGCAUGGAAUCCUUCUGACAUGCCAGAUGUUCCCAGGGAGCUGGCUGAGCAUCGCCUAUGAGUCGACUCAAAAGUAAAGCCUGUCAAAGAACAUCUCCGACGGUCCGCCGUCCAGAAGAGAAAGGAUAUUGACGAGGAGGUAGCUCGGCUCUUAGCAGCGGAGUUCAUCCGAGAAAUCUACCACUCCGAGUGGCUCGCCAACGUUGUCAUGGUCCCCAAGAAGGACAAGUCACUUCGCAUGUGCAUUGACUUUAAACAUAUCAAUCGGGCCUGCCCGAAAGAUCAUUUUCCUCUCCCCCGCAUCGACCAAAUAGUCGACUCGACUGCGGGAUGUGAGCGACUGUCUUUUUUAGACGCCUAUUCCGGGUACCAUCAGAUCCGUCUGUAUGGACCUGACGAGAUCAAAACAGCUUUCAUCACUCCAUUCGGGUGCUUCUGUUAUGUUACCAUGCCGUUCGGCCUCAAGAAUGCCGGAGCCACAUUCAUGAGGAUGAUUCAGAAGUGUUUGCUCACUCAAAUCAGUCGGAAUGUGGAAGCAUACAUGGAUGAUAUUGUGGUCAAGUCAUGGAAGGGUUCCGACCUGCUGACUGACCUUACUGAAACCUUUGCCAACCUCAGGAGGUAUGACAUCAAGCUUAAUCCAUCAAAGUGCACAUUCGGAGUUCCUGGCAGAAAGUUACUCGGUUUCCUCAUUUCCGAACGGGGAAUCGACGCAAAUCCGGAAAAAGUCGGUACUUACGUCCAAAAGCUUACUGGUUGCUUGGCCGCUUUAAGUCGAUUCAUCUCUCGUCUAGGUGAAAAGGCAUUGCCUCUUUACCGAUUGAUGAAGAAGUCAGACAAGUUCGAGUGGACUCCUGAAGCUGAUGCAGCGUUUGCAGAGCUCAAAGCUCUGCUCUCCACCCAGCCGGUGCUUGCUGCCCCAAUCAGCAAAGAGCCUUUGCUGCUUUACAUCGCAGCCAUGGGACAAGUCGUCAGUACGGUACUGACGGUCGAGCGGGAAGAAGAAGGAAAAGCCUUCAAAGUUCAGCGCCCAGUGUAUUAUAUUUCUGAAGUUUUGACCCCAUCGAAGCAAAGAUAUCCUCACUAUCAGAAGCUUGUAUAUGGGAUUUAUAUGACCACAAAGAAAGUUGCUCACUACUUCUCUGAUCAUUCCAUUACAGUCGUCAGCGAUGCUCCAUUGUCAGAGAUCCUGCAUAACAGAGAUGCAACUGGUCGAGUGGCAAAAUGGGCGAUUGAACUCCUUCCUCUAGAUAUCAAGUUUGAGGCAAAGAAAGCUAUCAAGUCCCAGGCAAUAGCAGAUCUCGUCGCCGAGUGGAUUGAACAGCAAAUGCCGACUCAGGUUCACUCGGAGCAUUGGACCAUGUUCUUCGAUGGUUCCAAAAUGCUGAAUGGUUCCGGUGCUGGGGUGGUGUUGGUAUCCCCCCGAGGAGAUAAGCUCAGAUAUGUUCUUCAAAUCCACUUUGAUUCCUCCAAUAACGAGGCAGAAUAUGAAGCACUUUAUAUGGGUUGCGCAUGACCAUUUCACUCGGCGUCCGUCGCCUCAUGGUCUAUGGCGACUCAGAUUUGGUGGUUAAUCAAGUGAUGGAGGAGUGGGAUGUCAGAAGUCCAGCCAUGACUGGUUAUUGCAAUGCAGUGAGAAAGCUGGAGAAGAAAUUCGAGGGGUUAGAGCUUCAUCACAUACCCCGACUGAAAAAUCAAGCAGCGGAUGGUUUGGCGAAAAUAGGUUCCAAAAGAGAAGCCAUUCCCAGCAAUGUGUUUUUGGAACACAUUCACACACCAUCAGUUCAGGAGGAUCCCUUCACUGAAGAGGCCCCGCAGCCAAAAAGUGCCACGGAUCCGACUGAAGUUGAAGUUCCAGCUGUGGUCGACCUGAUCAUGAAAGUCUUGGUCAUCACUCCUGACUGGACAAUACCGUACAUCGCGUACAUCCUAAGGAAAGAACUCCCAAAGGACGAAGAAGAGGCUCGACAGAUCGUCCGUCGAUCCAAGGCCUUUACAGUCAUAAAGGGACAGUUGUAUAGAGAAAGCGCGAUUGGAGUCAGUCAGAAGUGUAUAACACCAGAAGAAGGUCAGAUGAUCCUUGAUGAUAUCCACUCGGGGACCUAUGGUCAUCAUGCGUCCUCUCGGACCAUUGUGGCUAAAGCAUACCGAGCGGGAUUCUACUGGCCAAGGGCCAAUGAAAUGGCCAAAGAGAUAGUCGACAAAUGUGAAGGAUGUCAGUAUUACUCCAAUAUGUUGCACAAGCCCGCGUCAGCCCUGAAAACCAUUUCACUCGUCCGGCCCUUCGCUGUUUGGGGGCUGGACAUGGUUGGACCACUGAGAACAGGCAGGAACGGCUUCACUCAUGUGCUAGUAGCAGUCGACAAGUUCACCAAAUAGAUUGAAGCUAAGCCUAUAAAGAAUCUUGAUGCUUGCACUGCUAUCAGUUUCAUCAGAGAGUUGAUAUUCAGAUAUGGAGUUCCGCACAACAUCAUCACUGACAACGGGUCAAACUUCGAUUCCGACAAAUUCAGGGCCUUUUGCGCCUCUCAGGGCACACGAGUCGACUACGCUUCGGUCGUUCACCCCCAGUCGAAUGGACAAACGGAAAGAGCAAACGGCCUAAUUCUCAAAGGUCUGAAACCUCGAUUGAUGCGCGAUCUCAAGAAUGCAGCAGGUGCAUGGGUCGACGAGCUUCCAUCAGUCCUUUGGGGAUUGAGGACAACCCCGAACCGAUCAACCGGAAGAACCCCAUUCUUUCUGGUCUACGGAGCCGAAGCAGUCUUGCCGAGUGACCUGCUUCAAAACGCCCCCCGAGUCGAGCUCUACUCUGAAGAUCAAGCAGAACAAGCCCGGCAGGACGCAAAAGACCUCCUGGAAGAAGAAAGAGAAAUGGCCAUGAUCUGAUCGACCAUCUAUCAGCAAGACUUGCGUCGAUUCCAUGCCAGAAAUGUGAAGAGUCGAGCCUUCCAAGAAGGAGACUUAGUCCUCCGAGUGGAUCAGCAGAAACCACACAAACUCGCUCCUACUUGGGAAGGCCCCUUCAUAGUCACCAGAGUCCUCCACAAUGGAGCAUACCACCUCUAUAAUGUCGAUCGCCAGAUUGAUGAGCCACGAGCCUGGAAUGCGGAGCUACUCCGCCCCUUUUAUACUUGAAUUCUCACUCGGAUGAGAUGUAAUAAGAAAAACUCCUGUAGUUUAUUUAUCAAAGACAAGAGCAUUAUAAUUUUCCCAGUGAUUGUUAUUGUUUUUGUUUGCGUAAGAAAUCCCCCAGUGGGUGGCUUAGCUGCGAAUCUGUUUCGCCUAAGUUUGUAAAAAUAAUUUCUUACCGAGUGGUGAGCCAGCCUCCCACUCGGGGGCUUAGUUGCGAACCCGUUUCGCCUAAGUAUUUGAAAAUCCUACCGAGUGGUGAGCCAGCCUCCCACUCGGGGGCUUAGCUACGAACCCGUUUCGCCUAAGUAUUUGAAAAUCCUACCGAGUGGUGAGCCAGUCUCCCACUCGGGGGCUUAGCUGCAGUCCAGUACUCGCCUAGGUAUUUGAAAAUCCUACCGAGUGGUGAGCCGGCCUCCCACUCGGGGGCUUAGCUGCAGUCCAGUACUCGCCUAAGUAUUUGAAAAUCCUACCGAGUGGUGAGCGACCCUCCCACUCGGGGGCUUAGCUGCAGUCCAGUACUCGCCUAAGUAUUUGAAAAUCCUACCGAGUGGUGAGCNNNNNNNNNNNNNNNNNNNNNNNNNNNNNNNNNNNNNNNNNNNNNNNNNNNNNNNNNNNNNNNNNNNNNNNNNNNNNNNNNNNNNNNNNNNNNNNNNNNNNNNNNNNNNNNNNNNNNNNNNNNNNNNNNNNNNNNNNNNNNNNNNNNNNNNNNNNNNNNNNNNNNNNNNNNNNNNNNNNNNNNNNNNNNNNNNNNNNNNNNNNNNNNNNNNNNNNNNNNNNNNNNNNNNNNNNNNNNNNNNNNNNNNNNNNNNNNNNNNNNNNNNNNNNNNNNNNNNNNNNNNNNNNNNNNNNNNNNNNNNNNNNNNNNNNNNNNNNNNNNNNNNNNNNNNNNNNNNNNNNNNNNNNNNNNNNNNNNNNNNGAGCGACCCUCCCACUCGGGGGCUUAGCUGCAGUCUAGUACUCGCCUAAGUAUUUGAAAAUCCUACCGAGUGGUGAGCGAACCUCCCGCUCGGGGGCUUAGCUGCAGUCCAGUACUCGCCUAAGUAUUUGAAAAUCCUACCGAGUGGUGAGCGACCCUCCCGCUCGGGGGCUUAGCUGUAGUCCAGUACUCGCCUAAGUAUUUGAAAAUCCUACCGAGUGAUGAGCGACCCUCCCGCUCGGGGGCUUAGCUGCAGUCCAGUACUCGCCUAAGUACGAAACACAUCUCAAUCCUCAAGGACGACGAGGUGCAGGUCGACUGCCACCUUUUCCUUGGGAGCUUCGCCACAAAUACAACGUGCGCUCUAUCCCACUCCGCAAGGACGACGAGGUGCAGGUCUACUGCCACCUUCUCCUUGGGAGCUUAGCCACAAAUACAAUGCACACUCCAUCGCCGACCCGCAAGGACGACGAGGUGCAGGUCGACUGCUACCUUCUCCUUCGGAGCUGCGCCACAAAUACAAAACUUGUCUCGAAUGAAGAACGAGUUCCACUCGACGGGGAUUCAUGAAGAUAUUCAACGAUAAACCAAGUUCAGAUAAAUCCUAAAGGUUCCGGACCACAGAUCGAAGUGCUCGGGCAUUCAGCCCGAAAGAGUUUAACGGUUACAAAAACCACUCAGCAUUCCGAGGCAAAUUUAAGGUGAGGCAUAAAAGUUUGUUCACUCCGCGGGAGGAGGACUAGCAGGCUCGACGAACUUGUCUAGGUCGACGCUGUCGGCGAUCCGAGUGGCUGCAGCGAUGAAAGUCUCCAUAAAAGAUCGGAAGUCAUGCUUCUAGGUGUUGGCGACCUUGAUUGCUGCCAGCUUAUGUUGUCGCACCUCCUUGCAAUGGACAUGAACCAAAGACAGAGCCACAUCAGCACCACACCGGGCAGAAGAUUUCUUCCACUCCUGCACUCGGUCAGGGAUCUCAUUAAGUCGAGUCAUCAGGGACUCAAGAUCAUUCUGGAGCGUGGCCUCUGGCCAAAGUGCCGGGUCGAUUCGUGACGUGGCGACCUUCAGUCGAGCCAAGUAGUCCACAACACCGUCGAUGCGGGAUUCCAGUCGGAGCAGAUUCAUGGCAGUUUCAUCUUUCACGGGAGAAUUGAUUGGGUCCAAACCUGGCUCAAUCCGCGCAGUCUCCUCCUCGAAGUUCUGGCAAAACUCUGCAUUCACGAUCCAAGGAUAAGUCAAUUUUCGUACGCUGAGUCAACACAAAAAAAAAUCAGUCGGAACACAAUGUGCACCUUCAAGCUUGAUGAACAACUUCUUGGCAAGGCUCCUCAGAUAGCUCUCCAGAUCGUCCCUCCUACGAGUGAUGCCUUCCAUCUUCUCGUACAGGUUGAGAUUGUCCUUCUUCAAGCGCGUGCACUCCUUGUUGGCUUCGUUCAGAGCAGAUUUCAUCUUGGUAUUCUCUUCUUCCAACUGGCCGACCGAAGCCAGUUUCUGUUCAGCCAGAGCGGUUCUGUCGUCAGCUUCCUUUCGAGCAGCAGCCAAAUCCUGAUCCUUCUUCGCCAGAGCUUCUUUUAGUUUUUCUGCAAAGAAAUGACGCUUGAUUCAGAAAGAGCAGAAGGGUACUCAAGCCUAAGACAAACCAGUCGACAAACUCAUCUUACCAUUGGCGCCGUCCUUGGCCUUUUGCAGCUCUGUCUUGGCCAGCUCCAAGUCAAGGUUCAGUUGGAUCUGCUGUUUCUCCAAGUCAGCGAAGCGAGCUCCAAGAUCACAAGAUUUCUGAAAUCAAAGAGGAGAAGUUAUUUUACAGCGAAAAACGACAAAGACAAUAAGUACUAAGACUACGGUCGACUGCCCGCAGUCCACCAUAGUCUCGGGGACUACACCUAGUGGGUGCACUUUGCGUGUCCCCACCGGUUCUGAUCCCACUCGACCGGCCCGCCGGAGUCGAGUGCAGGGAGUAAAAAAAAGGGGGAGAGAAAGAAGAAAUCAGACCACAGUCGACUGCCAGUAGUCGACCACGGUCUCGGGGACUACACCCAGCGGGUGCACUUGGCGUGCCCCCACCGGUUCUGAUCCCACUCGACCAGAUCGAGUGGAAGAGACAAACUACCAGUUCGGUUUACACUCGACAAAAUACAAAGACUACAGUCGACUGCCAGCAGUCCACCGUAGUCUCGGGGACUACAUCCAGUGGGUGCACUCAGCGUGCCCCUACUAGUUCAAAAAUUCAAUCGACGCACCCAGUGGGUGUACAGAUGCAAAGAUUUUUGGAAAGAGUCUUCAGAUAGCAUGUCCUAACAGAACAAGCGGUGACCAACUAACCUGAACGUUGCUUUGGAGAGCCGAGCUGGCGUCGUAGGCGGCCUGACUGGCGUCCCGCACCGUCUUCAUCUUCUCCAUCAUGAUGCCCGCCUGGUGUAUGGCUUCCUUGGCAGCAUUCAUUUUGUCCUCUAGGACAUGAUGGGUCGCAAAAACUGAAGGUGGGUCGACAGGGGCCUGAGCAGUCGACGAAGAAGGCAAGGCACUCGACAGUGGCAUGACGAAGGUAACAGAACCCCGAUUGGCGUCGCCAGUGUCCUGAACGACUGGUUCCGCCCUCGGCGUCGACUGUGGCACCUUGCUUGCAGGAGCUUGCCUAUUCUGCCUCGUCAAAGGCCUCUCGGACUCUUCAUCAUCAUCGGGGAGGUCGAUAAUGUUGGGAGCUGUGCAAAGUUCAAUCGCCAAAACACAUCACCCAAUGGUGCACAUUGUAGUUGAGCCAACCAAAUAAAGAUAGAAUGGCAGAAAUCAUACCCAGAUUGGAAGUGACCACAUCCUCCAUUACCUCAUCCUCGUCCCUGUAAGCUGAGGUCCUGGAAGUAGCAGCGCUGCCAGUUCCAAAGUUCGUCUGGUCAAAACAAGAAAAACAAACGACACGGGGCGUCGAGUGAAUACAAAGGGAGACACUCACGCAGAAGCGACGGGGAUGUCAAUCUUAAUCUUCGGCAACGCCUUCCGAGUCUUCGGCUCUACAACUUUGGGAUGCUUUGGCGCUUUUUCGGUCGGGGUUGGUGAAGAGAUCCGAGGACGCUUUGAAGACUGACCAGCCUGGGCAGUCGCCUUUCGCCGGCGCUCGGUCGUUCUUGGUCAAGCUUGGAUCGCCUCUCCCUGCGAGGAGGCGACUCGACUUCUUCUUCGUCACUUGAGUCGUCGCUUUCUCCGUCCCCUUCAUCGUCAGAAGUCCAUUCGCCACUGUCGCCGCCGCUCGCCUCUCCUUCCAGAUCUUGCUCUUGCUCUCCAUUGGGCAUUGGAUACAUUUCGAUAAGGGCCUGAAAGAAAGCAGGAAGAAUAAAGUCAGUCGACGCGGUAUAGACAGCUGCGCGAGUGAAUUCAGAUUACAAUCAAAAGCUCGGAAUCUGACCUUCUCUGGUACAUGGGACUGGUCGAAUGGAGGAACUCUCCUGGCUCCCCUGGGGUUGUCCUUGUUUUCGGUCAUGCCCGACAGCCACUUCUCCAGUGUGUCGUCAUCGACCUCCUCCGGGUGAAUCCGAGUGGAGUCGUCAAGACCCGAAUACAUCCACAUCGGAUGGUCUCGAGCUUGAAGAGGCUGGAUGCGCCGCUGGAUGAAGACCUCCAAGAGAUCCAUACCGGUGACCCCGUCACGGAUAAGCUGGACCACUCUCUCAACCAGCACCCUCACCUGCGCCUUCUCCUCCGGGAGCACCUUCAAAGAGGAGGGUUUCCUCACUCGGUCCAUGGUAAAAGGAGGGAGGCCAGUCGACUUCCCUGGCGUCGACUGGUCCUUGUAGUAAAACCAGGUCGACUGCCAUCCGCGAAUCGAGUCGGAAAGAAUCAUGGCCGGAAAGGAACUUUUCCCUCUCAUCUGAACACCAAGACCCCCACACAUCUGAAUCACUUGAGUUCUCUCGUCACUCGGAUUGGCCUUUUUCACCGCCUGAGAGCGACAAGUGAAAAUGUUCUUGAAAAGACCCCAGUGAGGCUGACAACCCAGGAAAUUCUCACACAAAGAAACGAAAGCAGCGAGAUAAACGAUUGUGUUGGGAGUGAAGUGGUGGAGUUGUGCCCCAAAGAAGUUCAGAAAUCCCCGAAAGAAAGGGUGAGGAGGCAAGGAAAAUCCACGGUCGAUGUGGGUGGCAAGGAGAACGCGCUCACCCUCCCGAGGUUGCGACUCGGAUUCCUUCCCCGGAAGCCGCGCCGAUUCAUGGGGGAUCAGCCCUCCUUCGGCUAGGUCGUCGAGGUCCUCUUGGGUGAUCGUCGAGCGGAUCCAGUCGCCCUGGAUCCAGCCCUUUGGCAGGCCGGUUCGCGAGGAAGAUCCACCCCGACUGAUCGCCUUCCCCUUCGCCUUUUCCGUCGCCUUCUUUGCCCGCUCCAGAGCCGCCGUCUUCUCCUUCCCCAUCAUCGCCGGCGAGACGCGUAUGGAGCGGUGGCGCUGGGGCGAGAGCGAGCGCGAGCGCGACGAAGGAGCCUGAAGAGGAGAAGAGAUAAUGGAGACACACUGUUCAAGAGACCUCGGUCCGACGCCUUAUAUGAGGCCGCUUCCGAGUGGCUGACUGGUAGGCCCGGGUGGUCCUGUCAAAUCCCGUAACAAUCGCGUGCGCGAUACGUGGCGAAAAAGGUGGCGCGGGGAUCGAGGCGGCUCCCUCGUCCCGCGCGCUUCCCAAAAUUCGGACCCCGCAAAAUCUGCGGGCAGCAGAACAACUUGUCAGACCGAAGAUCUCCUCCACACCAUCACUCAGAGCCUUUCAAGUAAAGAAACUCACUCGACAACAAACUAAGAAUGGAUCAAGGCGACUGAAAAGGAAGUUGCUGUCAUCACUCAGGUUCAUUGAUCUGAAACAAGAUAUGCUCAUGACAUGAAAAAUGAGUCGGAGAAGUGAUCAACCCCUUUCCCACUCAAACCUCGAUCCAUUCGGGGGCUAAUGAUGAAGCUAUGUACCUAGGGUAGGGUCAUGGACCUGUCCCAGCUGCCCUACCCAAGGACAUCUCAAGAAGAAAUCACCUUGCAAUCGACUUGGAGGUGUUCCACUCGACAGACUCGAAGACACUCGACCAAGAAGCAAUCACUCGAUCAAUACCAAACCACUUGACGGCUAGGAGACCUAAAGGCACUCCGCACGCUAACAGUCAGUUAUUAAGUAGCUUUUAUGGUCAUCAUAACACUUUAUUGGGGGCGUUACCAGUAACGCCCGACCUUAAUGUAUUUAAAACCCUGCACAACUGAGGGCUGGAGGGGUCCGGCGAACUCUAUAUAAGCCACCCCCCUCCUCAGUGUAAAGGGUUCGCACCCCUGUAAUUCAUACAUGCAUAAUCCAGUCGACCGCCUCCGGGCUCCGAGACGUAGGGCUAUUACUUCCUCCGAGAAGGGCCUGAACUCGUAAACCUCGUGUGCUUACAACUUCUCCAUAGCUAAGAUCUUGCCUCUCCAUACUUACCCCCCUACAUUACUGUCAGACUUAGAACCACGACACUUACCGCUUUGGAGAUGCCCUUAGACUGUAUCAUUUUUGGAGAGAUAACCCUUCACUUUAUAAAAUCAACCCAUACUUCACAUCGUUCACUCCCACUAGCAAACCUGUAUUCUUAAUAUUUUGGCUAAAACAUAAAAAGUACUCCCUCCGUCCCAUAAUGUAAGACGUUUUUUGACGUGUAGUGUCAAAAAAGUUUACAUUAUGGGAUGGAGGGAGUAAUAUAUUGAAUUGAAUGUUCGAUUAUGGAUCCGUUUUGACUGUCAUCUUUGUCUUGAUGAGAUAUUUGAAACAAAAUCAUUGCUGAGUAUUUUUGAUUUUUUUUCUUGUUUUAAACUUUACUCAAAACUUGAUGUACUGGUCAUAAGCAGGUACAUGUCUGGGGAGGGAAGGCAGAUGUUUGUAGUCAUGUUUCAAAAAGCAUAAUAAUAAUAAUAAUUUUGUAAACAUAUACUCCUUCCGUUCCAAAAUUUUUGUCUUAAAUUUGUCUAGAUACGGAUGUAUCAUACAUCCGUAUUUAGACAAAUCUAAGACAAGAAUUUUAGGACGGAGGGAGUACUACAUUGAUCUUGUUUUACAGUUCUCAUAAAUACAAAGAUGCCAGUGAAAACAAUUUUGAAACAAUUGGUUCAAAAACAUUUGACACAAUUAUUGAUGGGAGAGUGAGAACAUGACAUAUGGAGCGCGGGUUGAUUACCAACUAUCAGUUUCUUAGGUCAGACCGUCUCCCUCUACCCAAUGGCUUAUUCAACACCUGUGCAUUUGGUGCAUGAAUUAGACGGGUGCACUAUAUAUAGGGUCGCGCUAUUCGUCACCCUGGGUGAGGAAUAAUUAUUCUUCAUCCCCUCUCUAUUUUGACAUUAAGGCAUCGUAUUUUUGCGUUUCGUAAAUUUUGUCUUAUUUUGUACAUAAAAAGAGAACAUAAGAAAAUAUGUACUCGCCGUAAAAAAUAUUUUAUAUUACGUAAAAUUACGAAUGUAAAAACAUAAUGUAAAACAUACAUAAAAUGUGAUUUUUCUGGUCUUAUAACUUAUAUUUUUGCUUUUUUAUACCAAAUUUUACAUAUUGAAUCAAUAUGCAUGCAAUUAUUUAUAUUCUAAACGUAAUUUAUUUAGGAAGUGAUAGUAAGAUUACUUCGGAUGAAGAAUAACUUUUAUAUAUCCACCUGAUAAGAGCAUUUACAACCGUACUUAGAAAAAGUGAGCUUCUAAAUGUCCGCGGAUGCGUACGAUGGACAAGCCUGAUCACCCCUCAUUUCUCACACAUUCUAACCACAUUCUUCAUUUCAAAUCCUCAUUUUCAGCGACAUCCAUUUGAUCCACCUAUAUAAAAUAAACUAGCAAACUAGUUACUUGUCAUCGCAUAUGUCGAUGACCUCCUUGCCGGAACCGCCGGCCUUGUCGUCAUUGACAGCCGGGCGAAAUGCUGACUCCUCGUCCUCGUCCUUCUCGUCCGCAAAAAGCUGCUCACGCUUCACGUCCGCCUUCGCCUCGUGGAUGAAGUGGCAGUUCGUCGCCACCGUCGCCUCAGAUUGGAUGGACUCGAGGAUGGCCUGCUGCUCCAUCGCCUCCUUCGCUUGGGCGAGCUCGAACUCCAUCAACACUUCCCCCAUUGCUGAAUUCGGCCUGCUCCAUCAUUGACGCCACCUCCUCGUCCGACGUAGGCUCCUCCUCUGACACCUCCACCUCUUCCAUCUCCUUGUCUGGCGCCUCCUCCUGGGAGUUUGGAGGCAGGCCGACCAUAGCAUGGUGCAGUGUGCCUCAAUAACGCGCAUCUUCGCAUGGAUCUCCGCCCGACGCUCCAGAGUCAGCAGCUUGUAGUACGUCACCUUGGAGCGGACCGCGGCGGCUGGCAGAAGACGAGCUCAAAUUGGAAGUGGGAGAGGAAGAGGAGGGAGCAGCGGCGGCGUGGACGGAAGCGAGAGGAGGAGAAUGGCGACGAGGCUAGGGUUGCCUCACUGUCCGGCUUAAAUAACUGUGUUUGACCUCUCAGGCGGCGCACCAGAGCUGCUUCAUGAAUACGUCCUCACCGAAUUGGAGGAGGCGCCCGAUGGACACAUGGCUUUUUGCAUGGGUCUCGACUGUCAGUCUUACAUAUAUUGGGCACGUCCGGGCCUCUUCAUAUCUCUUUCAUGUGUAGAUUGGAUUUGAGGUGUCCCAUAAAGGGGCUAGUUGGAUGGCAAUUUCGUGACACGGCCGCCGAUGCAUAGAUAGUUUUUGAGGGAUCCAAUUGUGGAGGUAAUCUCCCGUAAGUUUAGCAUUUUCCUGAUAACGACACGUGCCAAAGGCGGAGGUGAAGCAAGUAGCCAUCCGCCACUCCAUAAAAACUCUAAUCAUUUUGCUCCAGCCAAGCCCAUUUCGACACACCACGAGGCACGCACUAGAGCCUACAGCAUACAUCGUCCGAUCGGCCAUCGAUGGAGGAGCUCAAGCCGGAGUUCACAAAGGACGGCUCCGUCGACCUCCGCGGCCGGCCGGUCGUCGCCGCCCGGACCGGCCGCUGGAAGGCCUGCUCCUUCCUAGUCGGUGAGUGGUCAGUACAGUACCAGGCUCCGCCCGCCAUGGAUCGAUCUAGUCCGACUCUCCUUCUGAUGAACCCGCGCCGCGCGCAUAUAUAUGGAUGGACGCAGGGUACGAGGCGUUCGAGCGGAUGGCGUUCUACGGGGUGGCGUCGAACCUGGUGGUGUACCUGACGACGCAGAUGCGGCAGGAGACGGUGCCGUCGGUGCGCAGCGUCAACAACUGGACGGGCACGGUGUGGAUGACGCCCAUCGCCGGAGCCUACGUCGCCGACGCCUUCCUCGGCCGCUUCUGGACCUUCACCGUCUCCUCCCUCGUCUACCUCUCGGUCAGUACCAUCUCCCGAUUGAUCUUCAGUCCAGUGGAGCCCAAUUUGAUCCGCAAUCCAGUAUGUUUCACAAGCCACAACGCAUCAUUGACACUGAGAGCUCAUCCUCAGACAUGGUUUCACUCACAGCACAUCAGUAGUAGUAGUAAACUAGUAACUCUAAUGAGUGAUGACUCGAACAAGGCACUGCAGUAGAAAACGUACCAGAAAUUACGACGCUAGCGGCGGCUAUUCGAGAACCACACCAUGUCUGAAACUCGCCGGAGAGACAAGUCAGUCAGAGCCCGACGCCGGCAGUAGAAGAUUCUUACGGACAAUCGUUGUCAGCUCAGGCCGACCAACCAGGACUAGUGUUUUGUCAUGACGGUUAGGAUUACGACCGGAGAAGAAAAACGCAUUUGGAUUUCGGAAUCUUUCGGCUGGGAGGCGUGGGCGAAAGCUUAGUCCUACUCUGCUUUGCUUGUCCUGUUUCUGCGCUACACGUACGGCGGCCCCACCGGCGUCCAUCACACAAGGCGUAUGCCGAUCGCUGUACCCAAAGCAUGGCAAAAAGGCUAUCAUGUCCAUGCCAAUCCAGAACCAAGAUUUAUAGUACGGCUGGAAAACCCUUCACAUGUGUCACCGUCCAUGACAAUAAUGCUAAGAACUACACUAUGAAAAUGUCUUAGAUUUUGAGACGGAACUGGUAGUAUUCAUAGUAUAUCUUAGUACAAACAUUAAUAAUAGUAAUAUUUUUUGGACAAAACGGUGAAUUUUAUUGGCUUAAAAUGGGCAUUAAGAAAGUCAUUAAGACCAAAGCUAAGCGUAGAUGAGAAAAAAUAAAACUCAAAGCGAUCAGAUUCGUGAUUGGCAAGCUACAAUAAUGGCCUUAUCCGUACAGACCAUCUCAUAACACCACAAAGACGCCGAGGUUCUUCAACAACAACGCUUUCAGGAUCUAGCCACCCAAAGUCAAAAUAUAAGUUUUCACCUUGAAGAACCAGUCUGAUCAUAUCUGAGCAAUGGCUUUAACAAGGUAACGACGUAAAAAUAUCGCCAUUGCCAGGUUUAACCAACUCAGGUCAGACCUAGACCUUCAUCCUAGAGCUCGAGACCGGAUACUCGAGUUGCACCACUAUCGACGCCAAUCAUGGGUUGUCACCACCACUUUUCUACGAUCCCAGCAGCUACAUGUGACGUGCGACUGUGAACGAUGCACAACAAUCCUUCUACACCAAACCGUCGUCCAUAGUUUGCAUUUUUUGCAUUCUACUAUAAUUUACACAUAGUGUAACUAAAAUAAUGUAUUUCCUUUAAGAAGAGGAUUAAAAAAAACUUACACACAACUUUGCACAGAAAUUGCACAUUAUCGUAAUAUGUAAAAAUAAUCAUAUAAUCAUGAAAUUUUGGCACAUAUUAUAUAAUAUUUUUUGUAUAUAAUUACACUCAGCCAAAAACCUACAAAAAACAAAAAAAACAAUAAAGGAAAGAAAAAAAGGAAAAAGGUAAAUGCAUAGAAAUAAAAAAAACAUAAAUAAAAAAUGAAGCAAAAAUACCCAUAAAAGAAAGAAUUAAAUUUCCGAAGGAAGAAUGAAUGAUCAACAUUGGUAUUACCAUUUAAGAACAAAAAAAAUGAGAAAAAGAAUCUAAAACAAACAAUGACAAAAUUUGCAUGAAAUAUACAUAAAAAUUGUGCUUCUUUACAAUAUGCAAGAAUAAUCAUAUAAAUGUAGAAUUUUUGCAAAAACAAAAUCUGAGAACAAAUGAAUUGUGCCAUUGGUAUUAACCUUAAAGUAGAAUGAAAAUGAAGUAANNNNNNNNNNNNNNNNNNNNNNNNNNNNNNNNNNNNNNNNNNNNNNNNNNNNNNNNNNNNNNNNNNNNNNNNNNNNNNNNNNNNNNNNNNNNNNNNNNNNNNNNNNNNNNNNNNNNNNNNNNNNNNNNNNNNNNNNNNNNNNNNNNNNNNNNNNNNNNNNNNNNNNNNNNNNNNNNNNNNNNNNNNNNNNNNNNNNNNNNNNNNNNNNNNNNNNNNNNNNNNNNNNNNNNNNNNNNNNNNNNNNNNNNNNNNNNNNNNNNNNNNNNNNNNNNNNNNNNNNNNNNNNNNNNNNNNNNNNNNNNNNNNNNNNNNNNNNNNNNNNNNNNNNNNNNNNNNNNNNNNNNNNNNNNNNNNNNNNNNNNNNNNNNNNNNNNNNNNNNNAUUAAACGGGCGCAACCAAGACAAAGAAGUCGGCCGGUACCGAUUUGACUAAGCAAAACAAUGCGCCAAUCGAUUCCUUGCAGCCCAGCCCAACAACAGAAUUAAACAGAAAAAAAUGAAACCAGCACAGAUCUCGUAGCAUGAUCCAACGAACAGAAAAUUGACUGACCAGAAAAUAAAAAGUCAGCUGACUGAAAUGUAGCUAGAGUGUUCCGCUUGUGAUUCAAAAUGGAAGAUUCAACAUGCAGUAAAAAAACAAGCAAAAUUUCACCAUUUUUUUUCAAAGAGUAUGAGGAAAAGGGAAAAUUUUGUGGUUAGUAAAUGUCGGAUGAUUCAUGUUGUUGCAGGGCAUGGUUCUGAUAACCCUGGCCGUCUCCCUGAAGCCGCUGCACCCGCAGUGCACGGCGGGCGGCGACUGCGCCCCGGCGACGCGGCAGCAGGUCGCCUUCCUGUACGCGGCGCUCUACACCAUGGCCGUCGGCGCGGGUGGGACCAAGCCCAACAUCUCGACGUUCGGCGCAGACCAGUUCGACGACUUCGACGCCCGGGAGCGCGAGGUCAAGGCCUCCUUCUUCAACUGGUGGCUGUUCAGCUCCUUCGCCGGCGGCCUCGUCGCCGUGCUCGUCCUCGUCUACGUGCAGGAGGAGGUCGGCUGGGGCGUCGGGUACACGAUCCCCACGGUCGGCCUCGCCCUGUCCCUCGUGCUCUUCUACGUGGGCACGCCGUUCUACCGGCACAAGCCGGUCACGCGGAGCACGGCGGCCGGCCCGGCGAGGCUGAUCGGCAGGGUGCUCAGGGCGGCGUACGCGAACCGGGGAUGCCCGCUCACCGGCGAGCUGCACGAGCAUGACAAGGCGUGGUACGCCGCGGCCGGGAAGCGGCUUCUGCUCCACACGGAGGGUAACUUCAGGUUCUUGGACAAGGCGGCGAUCCGUGAGCGUGAGGCGUGCACGGUGACCGAGGUCGAGGAGGUGAAGCUGAUCGCCGGCAUGAUCGUGGUGUGGCUGGUUACCCUGGUGCCAUGCACCAUCUGGGCGCAGGUGAACACCCUGUUCGUGAAGCAAGGGACGACGCUGGACCGCUCCGUCGGCGGCGUGCGCAUCCCGGCCGCGUCCCUCGGCAGCUUCGUCACCAUCUCCAUGCUCAUCUCGAUCCCGAUCUACGACCGCGUGCUGGUGCCGCUGGCCCGGCGGCGCACGGGCAACCCGCGCGGCAUCACCCUCCUGCAGCGCCUCGGCGUCGGCUGCGCGCUGCAGGUGCUCGUCGUGGCCUGCGCCUGCCUGGUGGAGGUCCGGCGCAUGCGCGUGAUCCGGGAGCGCGCCGCCCGCGGCCCCCACGACACGAUGCCGAUGAGCGUCUUCUGGAUGCUGCCGCAGUACGUGCUGCUGGGCGUCGGCGACGUGUUCAACUCCGUGGGCAUCCUCGAGUUCUUCUACGACCAGUCGCCGGAGGGGAUGCGGAGCCUCGGCACCACCUUCUUCACCAGCGGGCUCGGCGUCGGGAACUUCCUCAACAGCCUGCUCGUGACGCUCGUCGACCGGGCCACCGCCACCACUACCGGGGGGAGCUGGAUCGGCGACAACCUCAAUGACUCGCACCUCGACUACUACUACGCGUUCCUGCUGCUCCUCACCGUGGCCAACAUGGCGCUCUUCGUGUGGGUGGCCAUGCGGUACAGGUACAAGAGAGAGUUCUUGGAGGACAGCGGCGCAAUGGAGACCGAGAAUGAGAUGGUGGCCGGCGGCAAGGUAAAGGCGGACCUGCCUGCGCGUCUGCCUGACAACACAACAAGGGACAGAGCAUAUGUACUGGAGUAGCAGUAUAUUGUACAGAGUACUUUUUUUAGGGGUUAUAAACCAACCUUUAUGGAUCGAAAUCCACGUGUAAUGGAAUAAAAAAGGAUCAUGAGGUUGAAUCAACCAGGUGUAUAGAUUCCGAUCCAGCGAAUGUGAAAACUUGGCUAACCUAUCGGCGUCGCGAUUAGUUGCUCUGCCUUGAAAGUAAAGGAAACAUUAAAAGCUAAUGAUUGCAUUGUAUCCUCCACAGCUAGCUUUGUCCAUGUCGUUGCUUGGAGUCCGAUGCAAUUAUAAAAUUGUGGAUCAUCAAAUCUUCUGCAAGAGCAAGUCCUUUGGGUCACGCUAUAGCCUCCAAAGUUGCUUCAUCGGUUAUCCCUUCUAUCACCAGCGCCGAACUACCAACAUAAUUUCCCAUGUCAUCUCGACAAACAGUCGCGGCAGCUCCUUUGUUAUGAGCCCUUGAUACUGCAGCAUCUACAUGGACCUUCGAGAAACCUGGCGGAGGAGCCUUUGGUCUGACCCUUGCUGGAAUUUGCACACCUCGUGUUAUCUUUGCGUUGGUUGGUAACAUCUCAAGCUCGGAAAUCAAACGUGUGAUGAACUGGUGAGUGGUCUAGGGGCUUUGAAAGAUUUCAUCAUAUAUUGCCUUCCUCCUCGCCCAUCAAAUCACCCAUAGUGUCACUGCCAACCGGGUAAGUGUUGCAUGCGAUACCGAGUCCAACAUGGAGAGUAUCCACUGCUUCGCGUUCGGCUCAGUUGUUUCACAUAGAUAUUCCGCCAGUUCCCCAUUGACCAGAUGUUGAGUAAAUAGGCAAUUUCUCGAUUAAAUUAAUCCACAAAUAAAUUACUAGCAUGGCAUUGACAUAAAUAAACGCAUACUGAUAUUCGGUCAAGCUAGCACAUACUACGCUAAUUGCAGAAAGAUCUACGUAUAACAAUAACAUGGCUAAAACAGAAAACAGUAGGAGCGGGAUAAACGAGUUAUACCCUCCAGUAGGCCAUGGAGAGGCCGCGGCUUUGGUGGCAGCAGCGGCGUCCUCGGCGGCCUUCUUGUCGGCUUUAACUUUCUCGGCGGCGGCACGUUCGGCGUCGGUGGACAUGGUGAUGAUGAAGGCGACGCGGACGUAGAGAAAGUAGACGAUCGGAAGCGAGCAAUCGCGUAAUCGCUGCCCAAAAACCUAUUCGCCCCUCACCCAGUACAGGAACCAGAAGGGCGUGGUUUCGGAGACCUGCUCUCCCGUCGACCGUGUAUGCGGCGGACGGGAUGGAGUCACCGGCGGUAGCAGUAGCAAAGGAACGACGGUGGGAGUGCGCGUGGGAGCAGAUGCGAUCUGUUUGUGGCGGCUAGGGUUAGGAGACACCGCACACUUAUAUAGGCGCAACCGCGUGGAGAGACAUCGGCUCGACCCACGUCCGAGUCCGUGACAGCCCACGAUCCGACGUCUCAGAUCGUGGCCCAGCUGUCAGAGAACUCCCCGCUAGUGACUGGCAAAAAUAAGCGCAUAGGUGUGAACUCGGCUCGGCUCAAUCCCGCAACCCGCGGCGUGGCGAGGCGGGCGGCGGAGGAGGAGUGCGCGAGGGUCUCUUCUCUUCUCAAGCUCCAAUAGCAUGUAGAAGAGAAACCCUUAUAAGGAGGUCCAACUCCUCUUCCACUUCCGGGGUGGGACUAAACUUCCCACUACACCUAGUGCCAUAUAACCCACAUGAGCCCUUAGAGAUUUUUCAAAAAUUGCUAUAUGGGCCUAGAGCCCAUCUCAAAUUUCAGCAACCCCCCACCAGAUCUCGAGGGCCCAUUGUGUCCUCUGUUUCAAUUACUGUUUCAAUAUACCAGUGUUUCAGUGAAGACCUGUUAAGGUUGAGCUUCACCUAGAGCAAGUAGUUACACUCCUUCACAACUGAACAAUGGACUAUACCUUGAAUUGUCAGUUUGGCGUAAAGAAGUUUCACCACAUGUCUUACUAAUACCGGGCUGCCGAAGGCUGACCCCUCGGGUGGAGCAUAUAAGUCACACUCCUGGCCUAUUCAUGAGCUUACUAGAGAUCACCCCAAUCUCAUAGAUUAUGACCAGCAGUCGGGCUCAUAUAGGUGUGUUCCUCCAAAGAUCGCUUUGUAGGAUAGCAUCUUGCUUAUAUAAGCUUCGGAACACAUUAAGACAGUAGUCAUCCUACCAUACAGUAUUGAGAGUAUUGCAUCUCCAACGGAGCGGGUUAGUAUAGUUACUCUCCUCAGUUCACCACUGGCUUGUUUUCCUAGAUCCUAAUUCACGGGAUCUCCGAUCACAUAGGUUGGGUUACUAACAUGGCAACUCAUGUGGGUCUCAUACCCAUCUCCCUCGAUGCAUUAUCUAUCACUACACAUGAUAGCCAUUUCGUAAAGGGAUCUGCCAGAUUCUUAGCAGUAUGGACAUACUCCAACGCUAUCACUCCGGAGUUUCUUAAUUUUCUGACAGCUUUUAAUCUCAUUCUUAUGUGUUUGUUGGACUUCAUGUUGUCCUUUGAACUUUUCACCUUGGUGAUGACAGUCUGAUUAUCACAGUUCAUAAGGAUAGCCAGAACCGGUUUAUCAACCAAUGGCAAGUCCAUCAAAAGAUCUCGAAGCCAUCCUACUUCGACACCAGAUGUGUCUAAUGCUGUUAAUUCUGCUUCCAUUGUCGAUCUCAUUAAGAUUGUUUGCUUGCAAGACUUCCAGGAAACAACGCCACCUCCAAGAGUAAAUAUAUACCCAGUUGUGGCCUUCAUCUCAUCAGCAUCAAAGAUCCAAUUUGCAUCACUAUACCCUUCAAGUACCGACGGGUAUCCGAUAUAGUGAAGUCCAAAGUUCAUAGUACCUUUCAGAUAGCGCAUAACUCUUUCAACAGCAUGCCAAUGUACAUCAUCCGGUUUGGAAACAAACCGACUCAGUUUGCUCAUAGCAAACGCGAUGCCAGGCCUCGUUGUGCUCGCUAGGUACAUCAGUGAAUCAAUGAUUUGAGAGUAUCUCAAUUGAUCUAUAGCCGUGCCUUUGGACUUUCGAAUCAACACGCUAGGAUCAUAUGGUGUUUGAGAUGGUGUGCAGUCCGAAUAUCCAAAAUGACUCAACACCUUCUCAACAUAGUGGGAUUGCAGAAGUGUAAUCCCACCCUCAUUAUCUCUCAGUAGCUUGAUGUUCAAGAUAACAUCAGCCACACCAAGGUCUUUCAUCUCAAAGUUCUGAGACAUAAAUGACUUGACCUCCUCAAUGACUUUGAGGUUGGUUCCGAAUAUCAGUAUGUCAUCAACAUACAAGCACAGUAUAACUCCUUCGCCCCCACCAUGGCGAUAGUAUACACAUUUGUCAGCCUCAUUAACAAUGAAACCAACAGAUGUCAGAGUUGUAUUAAACUUACCAUGCCAUUGCUUAGGUGCUUGCUUCAGGCCAUAUAAAGAUUUCAGCAACCUACACACCUUUCUUUCCUGACCAUUGAUGACCCACAAGUAUAGGGGAUCUAUCGUAGUCCUUUCGAUAAGUAAGAGUGUCGAACCCAAUGAGGAGCAGAAGGAAAUGAUAAGCGGUUUUCAGCAAGGUAUUCUCUGCAAGUACUGAAAUAAGUGGUAACAGAUAGUUUUGUGAUAAGGUAAAUUGUAACAAGCAACAAGUAACAAAAGUAAAUAAAGUGCAGCAAGGUGGCCCAAUCCUUUUGUAGCAAAGGACAAGCCAGAACAAAAUCCUAUGAAAAGCGCCCCCGAGGACACAUGGGAAUAUCGUCAAGCUAGUUUUCAUCAUGUUCAUAUGAUUCGCGUUCGAUACUUUGAUAAUUUGAUAUGUGGGUGGACCGGUGCUUGGGUGUUGUUCUUACUUGAAUAAGCAUCCUACUUAUGAUUAACCUCUAUUGCAAGCAUCCGCAACUACAACAAAAGUAUUAAGGUAAACCUAACCAUAGCAUGAAACAUGUGGAUCCAAAUCAGCCCCUUACGAAGCAACGCAUAAACUAGGGUUUAAGCUUCUGUCACUCUAGCAACCCAUCAUCUACUUAUUACUUCCCAAUGCCUUCCUCUAGGCCCAAAUAAUGGUGAAGUGUUAUGUAGUCGACGUUCACAUAACACCACUAGAGGCUAGACAACAUACAUCUUAUCAAAAUAUCAAAAGAAUACCAAAUUCACAUGACUACUAAUAGCAAGACUUCUCCCUUGUCCUCAGGAACAAACGUAAUUACUCACAAAGCAUAUUCAUGUUCAUAAUCAGAGGGGUAAUAAUAUGCAUAUAGGAUCUGAACAUAUGAUCUUCCACCAAAUAAACCAACUAGCAUCAACUACAAGGAGUAAUCAACACUACUAGCAACCUACUAGCACCAAUCCCGGACUUUGAGACAAGAAUUGGAUACAAGAGAUGAACUAGGGUUUGGAUAUGGAUGGUGCUGGUGAAGAUGUUGAUGGAGAUUGCCCUCUCCCGAUGAGAGGAGCAUUGGUGAUGACGAUGGUGAUGAUUUCCCCCUCCCGGAGGGAAGUGUCCCCGGCAGAACAGCUCUGCCGGAGCCCUAGAUUGGUUCCGCCAAGGUUCCGCCUCGUGGCGGCGGAGUCUCGUCCCGAAAGGUUGCUUCUAAUUUUUUUCUCAUCGAAAGACUUCAUAUAGCAGAAGAUGGACAUCGGAGACCCACCAAGGGGCCCACGAGGUAGGGGGCGCGCCCUAGGAGGGGGGGGGGGCCCACCCUCGUGAGCAGGGUGUGGCCCCCCUGGCCUUCAUCUUUGGCAAGGAUUUUUCUUUGUUUAUUUUAAGAUGUUCCGUGGAGUUUCAUGACUUUUGGAGUUGCGCAGAAUAUGUCUCUAAUAUUUGCUCCUUUUCCAGCCCAGAAUUCCAGCUGCCGGCGUUCUCCCUCUUCAUGUAAACCUUGUAAAAUAAGAGAGAAUAGCCAUAAGUAUUGUGACAUAAAGUGAAAUAACAGCCCAUAAUGCAAUAAAUAUUGAUAUAAAAGCAUGAUACAAAAUGGACGUAUCAACUCCCCCAAGCUUAGACCUCGCUUGUCCUCAAGCGAAAAGCCGAUAACAAUAAAUAUGUCCUCAUGUUUAGAGGUAGAGGCGUCGAUAAAAAUAAAAUACAGACAUGAAGGCAUCAUGAUUAUUCUCAUAACAGCAACGUAUAUAGAUUUUGUCAUAUGAUUACUUAUGUUCAAGUGAUGAUCUAUUCACAAUGCAAAUGUAUAAAUCAUAAACCUUAUUGGGCUCCGACAAACUAUAAUCUCAGUCAUUGAAGCAAUUGCAAUUUAUCAUAACAUCAGAAAGAGUCUAUGUCAAAGCUAAAAAACAAGUACACAUACUCAACUAUCAUUUAGUCCUUCAUAAUUGUUAACACUCACGCAAUACUUGUGGUUAUGAAGUUUUAAUCGGACACAGAGAAAGAUAGGGGCUUAUAGUUUUUCCCCACAACCUUUUACCUCAGGGGUAAUGUCAACAAUAAUAAUUCAUGCUCCCCUACAUCCAAUUAGAUAUAUAUAUGUAUAUAUAUAUAUAUAUAUAUAUACAUAUAUAUCAUGUUCUUUCCAACACGUUGAGCUUGCCAAAGGAUAAAAUGAAAAGGGAAAGGUGAAGAUCACCGUGACUCUUGCAUAAGGUAGAAGAUAAUAAUAAAGGACAUGCCCUUUGCAGAGGGAAGCAGAGGUUGCCAUGCGCUUUUAUAGCUGGAUGCACAAAAUCUCAAUGCGAAAGAAUGUCACUUUAUAUUGCCCCUUGUGAUAUGAACCUUUAUUAUGCAGUCCGUCGCUUUUAUUACUUCCACAUCACAAGAUCGUAUAAAGCUUAUUUCUCCCACACCAAUCAAUCAUACAUAUUUAGAGCAAUUUUUAUUGCUUUGCACCGAUGACAACUUACUUGAAGGAUCUUACCCAAUCCAUAGGUAGAUAUGGUGGACUCUCAUGGAAAAACUGGUUUAAGGGUAUUUAGAAGCACAAGUAGUAUUUCUACUUGGUGCUGAGAAUUUGGCUAGCAUGAGGGGGAAAGGCAAGCUCAACAAGUUAGAGGAUCCAUGAAAAUAUACUUUACCUCAGAUAUAAGAAAGACAUAACUCAUUACGUUGUCUUCCUUGUCCAACAUCAACUCUUUAGCAUGUCAUAUUCUAAUGAGUGCUCCCAAUCAUAAAAGAUGUCAAUGAUAAUAUAUCUAUAUGUGAAACCUCUCUUUCCUUAUUACUUCCUAUUAAUUGCAACGAUGACUAAGGCUAUGUCUACCAACUCCCAACAACUUUUAAUCAUCAUACUCUUUCUAUGUGAAGCCAUUACUCUCAAUAAGAUCAAUAUCAACUCUUUGUUUCUUUCUAUUCUUUUUCUCUUUUAUUUUAUUCACCCAAGAUCAUAGCAAAAUAACCAAGCCCUUGACUCAACACUAAUCUUUAUUAUAUAUAGCUCACGGACUCAAUUACAAAGAGAGAUCAUAAGGCAAAACUCAAAACUAGAUCAUGCGAUAAACUUUAUUCUACUAGAUCAAGAUACUACUAUUAGGAUCGAACUAAGAAAAACGGUAAAGAUAGGAGUUGUGAUUGUGAUACGAUACCGGGGCACCUCCCCCAAGCUUGGCAGUUGCCAAGGGGAGUACCCAUACCCAUGUGAUUAUUUCUCCUUUGUCGGUGAAGAAGGUGGUGGUGAUGUUGGCUUAGUUGAUGGCUUAGGCUUCUCCCUUAAUUUGCGCUUGAGGACGACAUUUUGAUCCCUCAGAUCAUCAAUCUCCCACUUCAGUGUUAAUAUCUUUUUGCAUAGGUCCUGCUUAUUUUCCUGCAAGAGAUGAAAAGGGAUAAACUCGAACUUUGGUUUCUUUACCCUAUCAGGGAGACUUGACUUUUUGAACUCCACGUGCAUGUACCCAUGUUGAGGUAAUGGUGCUUCAUCUUCAUCUGAGCUCGUCUCCUCCUUCCCCUUGGGUUUAUAGUCCUUUUCUUCCUCCGUGGUCCAUCCAUCGUGUUCCACAUCUCCAUAGACCUUGGGAUUUGCUAAGUAAUCAUCCACAUAGCUUUCUCCUUCCGAAUCCUGGGAAGACAUGUUGAUUUAAUCUGCAACGGGACAGCUUGAAACGAAAACAGAGGAUAUUUGCGUGAUACGGGAGUCAAAACCUUCGCGAGGUUAUAUAAUGAAUUUUCACCGACCAAAAUACGUAUCGUGCAAGAAAAUGAAGUCCGGAAGGCACACGAGGUGCUCACGAGGUAGGGGGGCGCGCCCAAAGGGGUAGGGCGCGCCCACCACCCUCGUGUCCUUCCCGGACUGCUACUUAUUUUUCUAUUUUUCUAAAUAUUCCAAAACAGAGAAAUAUUGCCUUCAAAAUUGUUUUGGAGCCGGUUUACUUACCGUACCACAUACCUAUUCCUUUUCGGAGUCUGAAACAUUCCGGAAAGUGUCCCUUAUGUAUUCCUCCGGGGUUACGAUUUCAAUAAUAUUGGUUUCAACAUUUAUGGGAUUACCUGAGAUAUAAUGUUUGAUUCUUUGACCGUUUACCACCUUCGGAUUUGUGCCCUCGAAGUUGUUGAUUUUUAUGGCACCGAAACGAUAGACCUCCUCGAUAACAUAGGGGCCUUCCCAUUUAGAGAGAAGUUUUCCUGCAAAAAAUCUUAAACGAGAGUUGUAUAGCAAUACAUAAUCACCUACAUUAAACUCACGCUUUUGUAUCCUUUUGUCAUGCCAUCUUUUAACUUUUUCUUUAAACAACUUGGCAUUUUCAUAAGCUUGGGUUCUCCAUUCAUCAAGUGAGCUAAUAUCAAAUAACCUCUUCUCACCGGCAAGUUUGAAAUCAUAGUUAAGCUCUUUAAUAGCCCAAUAUGCCUUAUGUUCUAGUUCGAGAGGUAAGUGACAUGCUUUUCCAUAAAUCAUUUUAUACGGAGACAUACCCAUAGGAUUUUUGUAUGCAGUUCUAUAUGCCCAUAAUGCAUCAUCAAGUUUCUUAGACCAAUUCUUUCUAGACCUAUUAACAGUCUUUUGCAAAAUUAAUUUGAGCUCUCUAUUGCUCAACUCUACUUGACCACUAGACUGUGGGUGAUAAGGAGAUGCAAUUCUAUGAUUAACAUCAUAUUUAGCAAGCAUUUUACGGAAGGCACCAUGAAUAAAGUGUGAACCACCAUCAAUCAUUAAAUAUAUAGGGACUCCAAACCUCGGAAAAAUAACUUCCUUGAGCAUUUUAAUAGAAGUGUUAUGAUCAGCACUACUAGUUGGAAUAGCUUCUACCCACUUAGUAGCGUAAUCAACAACAACUAAAAUAUGUGCGUAUCCAUUAGAGGCAGGAAAAGGUCCCAUAUAAUCAAAGCCCCAAACAUCAAAUGGUUUAAUAACAAGUGAAUAAUUCAUAGGCAUUUCUUGACGUCUACUAAUAUUACCAACUCUUUGACAUUCAUCACAAGACAAGACAAACUCACGGGCAUCCUUGAAGAGAGUAAGCCAAUAAAAACCAAAUUGCAAUACCUUAUGUGCAGUUCUAUCUCCAGCAUGGUGUCCUCCAUAAGCCUCGGAAUGACACUUGCGUAGGAUCUGUUCUUGUUCAUGCUCAGGUACACAACGUCUAAUAACACCAUCUACUCCUUCUUUAUAAAGAUGUGGGUCAUCCCAAAAGUAAUGUCUCAAGUCAUAGAAAAACGUUUUCUUUUGCUGGUAUGUGAAGCUAGGUGGUAUAAACUUAGCAACAAUAUAAUUAGCAUAAUCAACAUACCAUGGAGUACUACGAGAAGUACUUAUAACAUUUAAUUGUUCAUCAGGAAAGCUAUCAUUAAUAGGUAGUGGGUCAUCAAGAACAUUCUCUAACCUAGACAAGUUGUCUGCAACGGGGUUCUCAGCUCCCUUUCUAUCAACAAUAUGCAAAUCAAAUUCUUGUAGCAAGAGAACCCAUCUAAUAAGUCUAGGCUUAGCAUCUUUCUUUUCCAUAAGGUAUUUAAUAGCAGCAUGAUCAGUGUGAAUAGUUACUUUAGAAUCAACAAUAUAAGGUCUGAACUUAUCACAAGCAAAUACAACUGCUAAAAGCUCUUUUUCAGUAGUAGCAUAAUUUCUUUGAGCAUUGUCUAGAGUCUUACUAGCAUAAUGAAUAACAUUUAAUUUCUUAUCAACUCUUUGCCCUAGAACAACACCUACAACAUAAUCACUAGCAUCACACAUAAUUUCAAAGGGUAAAUUCCAAUCAGGUGGCUGAACAACAGGUGCAGAGACUAAUGCUUUCAUAAGUAUUUCAAAUGCUUCUACACAAUCAUCAUCAAAGACAAAUGGUAUAUCUUUUUGCAAUAAAUUAGUCAGAGGUCGAGAAAUUUUUGAGAAAUCCUUAAUGAACCUCCUGUAAAAUCCGGCGUGACCAAGGAAACUUCUUAUACCUUUGAUGUCCUUGGGACAUGGCAUCUUUUCAAUAGCAUCGACCUUGGCUUUAUCAACUUCAAUACCUCUUUCAGAAACUUUAUGCCCCAAGACAAUACCUUCAUUAACCAUAAAGUGGCACUUUUCCCAAUUCAAGACAAGAUUAGUUUCUUCACAUCUCUGCAAAACUCGAUCAAGAUUGCUCAAGCAAUCAUCAAAAGAGGAACCAUAGACGGAAAAAUCAUCCAUGAAAACCUCACAAAUCUUUUCACAAAAGUCAGAGAAUAUAGCCAUCAUGCAUCUUUGAAAGGUAGCAGGUGCAUUACAUAAACCAAAAGGCAUACGUCUAUAAGCAAAAGUACCAAAAGGGCAUGUAAAAGUAGUCUUUGAUUGAUCUCUAGCCGACACAGGUAUUUGAGAGAAACCAGAAUAACCAUCAAGAAAGCAAUAGUGUGUAUGUUUGCAUAAUCUUUCUAGCAUUUGAUCAAUAAAAGGUAAGGGGUAAUGAUCUUUCUUAGUAGCUUUAUUUAAUUUGCGGAAAUCAAUUACCAUCCUAUAACCUGUGAUAAUUCUUUGUGGAAUCAAUUCAUCUUUAUCAUUAGGAACAACAAUAAUACCUCCCUUCUUAGGGACACAAUGGACAAGACUUACCCACUGAUUAUCAGCAACGGGAUAAAUUAUACCUGCCUCCAGAAGCUUGAGUAUUUCUUUUCUUACCACUUCUUUCAUUUUAGGAUUCAGACGUUGAGGGAGUCCUGGAUUAGGGGGUGUCCAGAUAGCCGGACUAUACCUUCAGCCGGACUCCUGGACUAUGAAGAUACAAGAUUGAAGACUUCGUCCCGUGUCCGGAAGGGACUUUCCUUGGCGUGGAAGGCAAGCUUGGCGAUACGGAUAUGUAGAUAUCCUACCAUUGUAACCGACUCUGUGUAACCCUAACCAUUUCCGAUGUCUAUAUAAAUCGGAGGGUUUUAGUCCAUAGGACAGAACAACAAUCAUACCAUAGGCUAGCUUCUAGGGUUUAGCCUCCUUGAUCUCGUGGUAGAUCUACUCUUGUAAUACCCAUAUCAUCAAUAUUAAUCAAGCAGGACAUAGGGUUUUACCUCCAUCAAGAGGGCCCGAACCUGGGUAAAACAUCGUGUCCCCUGCCUCCUGUUACCAUCCGCCUAGACGCACAGUUCGGGACCCCCUACCCGAGAUCCGCCGGUUUUGACACCGACAUUAGUGCUUUCAUUGAGAGUUCCUCAGUGUCGUCACUUUUAGGCCCGAUGGCUCCUCCGAUCAUCAAUAGCGACAUAGUCCUGGGUGAGACCUUUCUCCUCGGACAUAUCUUCGUCUUCGGCGGCUUUGCACUGCGGGCCAAUUCUCUUGGCCAUCUGGAGCAGAUCGAAAGCUAUGCCCCUAGCCGUCAGGUCAGAUUUGGAAGUUUAAACUACACGGCUGACAUCCGCGGGGACUUGAUCUUCGACGGAUUCGAGCCACUGCCGAGCGCGCCACACUGUCAUGACGGGCAUGAUCUAGCUCUACCGCCGAACAGUGCCCUGGAGGCCGCACCCGCAUCGGCUUCGACCCUUAAUUCAGAGCCAACUGCGCCGAUCGAGGAUGGGUGGUUGGACGCCACCUCGGGGGCUGCGAUCCCAACGAUGAUCGAGCCGAACACCAGCCUCACACUCCACGAGGCUCGUGACUCCAAGGAGCCGGACUCCUCUCCGGACUCCGAGCCCUCCGCGCCCCUGCCGAUCAAAUCCGAUUGGGCGCCGAUCAUGGAGUUUACCGCCGCGGACAUCUUUCAGCACUCGCCUUUCGGCGAUAUUCUGAAGACACUAAAGUCUCUCUCUUUAUCAGGAGAGCCCUAGCCGGACUACGUUCAGCAAGGUUGGGAUACGGACGAUGAAGAAAUUCAAAGCCCACCCACCACCCACUUUGUAGCCACUGUCGACGAUUUAACCGACAUGCUCGACUUUGACUCCAAAGACAUCGACAGUAUGGACGCCAAUGCAGGAGACGAUCAAGAACCAGCGCCUAUAGGGCACUGGAAAGCCACCUCGUCAUAUGACAUAUACAUGGUGGACACCCCAAAAGAAGGAGAUGGUGAUGGAACAGCGGAGGAUGACCCCUCCAAGAAACAGCCUAAGCGCCGGCGUCAGCGGCGCCGCUCAAAAUCCCGCCAAAGCAAAUACGGCGAUUCCGGCAUGGGAGAUAAUAAUACUCCGGAGAGUGCCGAAGAAAACCCCCUCCAGCAGGAUUCAGCACAGGAGGAUGGAGAAGCUAGCCCUCAUGAGAGAGCGGCAGAUAGAGAGGUCGAGGACGAUAAUUAUAUGCCUCCCUCCGAAGACGAGGCAAGCCUCGACAACGACGAAUUCGUCGUGCCAGAGGAUCCCGUCGAGCAAGAGCAUUUUCAACGCAGACUUAUGGCCAUGGCAAGCAGCCUCAAGAAAAAACAGCAACAACUUAGAGCUGAUCAAGAUUUGCUAGCCGACAGAUGGACUGAAGUCCUCGCGGUCGAAGAGUAUGAACUCGAACGCCCCUCCAAGAGCUACCAAAGCGCAGGUUGCUACCCCGAUUAGAGGAGGAAGCACCUAAACCUACAUCACCAGCACAUGAUACAGCCGACCGGCCACCUCGUGGCCAUGACAGAGAGGCCCCUCGGCCCUCCACUCAAGCCGCACCCCGUACCAAGGCACGGGAAAAUGCGCCAGACCUGCAAGAUAUAUUGGAGGACAAGGCAAGGCAAACAAGAUCGAUCUACGGAUCGUGUGGGCGCCCCACGACUCGAGACGAUAACCGUCACGCCGGAUACAGCAAAUCCGGUAGGGCCGAACACAACAGACAAAGCUCAUUUGAGCUAUGUCAUGAUAUAGCCCAGUACAGAGGCGCCGCACACCCACUAUGCUUCACAGAUGAAGUAAUGGAUCAUCAAAUCCCCGAGGGUUUCAAACCCGUAAACAUCGAAUCAUAUGAUGGCACAACAGAUCAUGCGGUAUGGAUCGGGGAUUAUUUCCUUCAUAUCCACAUGGCCCGUGGCGAUGAUCUACACGCCAUCAAAUACCUCCCACUCAAGCUUAAAGGACCAGCUCGGCAUUGGCUUAACAGCUUGCCAGCAGAAUCAAUCAGUUGUUGGGAGGACCUGGAAGCCGCAUUCCUCGACAAUUUCCAGGGCACUUAUGUGCGAUCACCAGAUGCGGAUGACCUAAGCCACAUAAUUCAGCAGCCAGAGGAAUCGGCCAGGCAAUUCUGGACACGGUUCCUAACAAAGAAAAACCAAAUAGUCGACUGUCCGGACGCAGAGGCCCUAGCAGCCUUCAAGCACAAUAUCCGUGACGAGUGGCUUGCCCGACACCUUGGACAGGAAAAGCCGAAAUCCAUGGCAGCGCACGACACUCAUGACUCGCUUUUGCGCAGGAGAAGACAGCUGGCUUGCUCGUAGCAACAAUAUGACCAAGAACCCUGGUAAUUCGGAUACCAGAGACAGUAGUGGCAGGUCACGUCGCAACAAGCAGAAGCACCGCAUUAACAGCGACAAGGCUGAGGAUACGGCAGUUAAUGCCGGAUUCAGAGGCUAUAAAUCCGGUCAGCGGAAAAAGCCAUUCAAAAGAAAUACUCAGGGCCCGUCCAGUUUGGACCGAAUACUCGACCGCUUGUGCCAGAUACAUGGCACCCUCGAAAGGCCGGCCAAUCACACCAACAGGGAUUGUUGGGUGUUCAAGCAGGCAGGCAAGUUAAAUGCCGAAAAUAAAGACAAGGGGCUGCAUAGCGAUGAUGAUGAAGAGCCCUGGCCGCCGAACAAUAGUGGACAGAAGGGUUUUCCCCCACAAGUGCGGACGGUGAACAUGAUAUACGCAACCCACAUCCCCAAGAGGGAGCGGAAGCGCGCGUUAAGGGACGUAUACGCGAUGGAGCCAGUCGCCCCAAAGUUCAACCCAUAGUCCUCCUGCCCGAUCACCUUUGAUCGAAGGGACCACCGCACUAGCAUCCGUCAUGGCAGAUUUGCCGCAUUGGUUCUAGACCCAAUUAUUGACGGAUUCCAUCUCACUAGAGUCCUUAUGGACGGCGGCAGUAGCCUGAACCUGCUUUACCAGGAUACAGUGCGGAAAAUGGGCAUAGAUCCCUCGAGGAUUAAGCCCACCAAAACAACCUUUAAAGGCGUCAUACCAGGUGUAGAGGCCAACUGUACAGGCUCAGUUACACUUGAAGUGGUCUUCGGAUCUCCGGAUAAUUUCCGAAGUGAGGAGUUAAUCUUCGACAUAGUCCCGUUCCGCAGUGGCUAUCACGCACUGCUUGGGCGAACCGCAUUUGCCAAGUUCAAUGCGGUACCGCACUACGCAUACCUUAAGCUCAAGAUGCCAGGCCCUCGAGGAGUAAUUACGGUCAAUGGAAACACCGAACGCUCCCUCCGAACGGAGGAGCACACGGCGGCCCUUGCAGCGGAAGUACAAAGCAGCCGCUCCAGGGAGUUCUCCAGUCUGGCCAUUAAAUGUUCGGACACCGUCAAGCACGCCCGGAGUAACCUACAACAAGACCGCCUGGCACGUUCCGAGCAGGCGUAGCAAUGCGGCCCCAACUCCAGCCCUCGCGAAAAUGCGACACCAGUGCUUCGCGUACAUAACUACGCUCUAGAAAUACCAUGGGUACAGGGGGAGGGGCACCAUCACGGCACGCCCGAAACACGGCUUAAACCGCACUAGGGGCUGCCGAUUUUUUAAUUUUCUCUUACUUUCAGGACUUCAUUCUUCGGAAGGCCUGUCCGGCAGUACAAUUGCCGCACAAAUGAUGCAAGAACCAGGGAAGCAGACAAGCCACGCCGCAUUACGGAACUCCCAGGUGGUCUCUAUCACGAGCAGUAUACCGGUUUCGCAUACCAUUCCGCAGCCUGCCCCUGGAACGGACAUGUUAAAUAGUCCAAUCUUUUGCUUAUCGCGUUAUUUGUAUCGUUCUCCCUUGAUCGCAACCCUUUUUAAUAAAAAAUGCAUAGCUUUUGUCUAUUUUUGCAUUACUCUUUUUUACAAAUAUAUGUUCAUUAAUGACAUGUUGCACCCGUACACUUUGGUACGGCCAAAAUACGUCAGGGGCUUUAGUAUCCCUCAAUAUGGUGUGAGAAGCCCGAACACUUUAACAAGUGCGGCACCCCGAACUUAUAGCAUUAUAUGCAUCGGCUGCGAAUCAUGUCUAGGGUCAAUAGUUGGGUUUGCCCGGCUCCUAUGUUUUGGUGCCUUACAUUCCGCUAUAUCGGCUAAGGUAGCACUAGGAGAACUACUGCGAUUGUGCCCCAGUUGAGCUGGGCUGAGCACCUCAGUAGAGAAAGCUAAAACUGACUGUCAUGAUGAAGCGAGAGCUAGUCGCUGUUCGAGAGGUUUUUCGAGUCCCUAAAGACUUAUGCCGCUUAGAGCGAGGAGUCGGCUCUGUCCGGCCAAGGCGUGAUAGCGCCCCAAACUCGGUCUUCCGAAUAGCAGGGGCUUCGCCGAAAUUUAAAAUUAUAGAAUUCUAUGGCUAAGUGAGAGUGUUCAAGCAUUAUAGUCCGAUUGCCUUGUUCGUUGUGCUGAGCGCCUCCCUCGAAGGACCCAAACAUGGGAAAAAGAGCGCUCACGUUUAUCCCGAACACCCCAGCACUAGUGGCACGGGGGCAGAAGCCGACGACUCGCCAUCUCUCAAAAUUGAUAAACGGCCACACAGAAGGUAAUAUUUUAAAUUCCAAAAGCAUUGCUUAGCGCAUAUGAACAAGUUUUCAGCGCAUAGGACAAAACGAGCGAGUUUUACUCAAAAAUUACAUCCCUGGAACAUUCAUCCGCCAUAAGGCGGGCACCCUUCAGAACGUCCUUAUAAUAAUUCUCGGGCUUGCGAUGCUCUUUCCCCGACGGUGGCCCGUCCUUCACAAGCUUCUCAUCAUCCAGCUUGCCCCAGUGCACCUUAGCGCGGGCAAGGGCCCUACGGGCACCUUCGAUGCAGACGGAGCGCUUGAUGACUUCGAGCCUUGGAUAGGCCUCCACCAGCCGCCGCACCAGCCCGAAGUAGCUCCCAGGCAGAGCCUCUCCAGGCCACAGCCGAACUAUGAGGCCCUCCAUGGCCUGUUCGGCCACCUUGUGGAGCUCGACCAGUUGCUUCAGUUGGUCGCUCAGGGGCACGGGGUGUUCGGCCUCAGCAUAUUGAGACCAGAACACCUUCUCCGUCGAGCUGCCCUCCUCGGCUCGGUAGAAUGCGGCGGCAUCGGACACACUAUGGGGAAGAUCUGCGAAUGCUCCUGGAGAGCUCCGGAUUCGGGGUAAGUAACAAGUAACUCACUUUUAUAUGUUUGCUUUGCAUAAAGAAUGCCUUACCCGCCGCUAUCUUUUUCACCGCAUCCAACUCCUGGAGGGCCUUCUGGGAUUCGGCCUUGGCAGACUUGGCAUUUUCAAUAGCCGCCGCGAGCUCGGACGCUCGCGUCUUUGAGUCAAGCUCCAAACUCUCAUGCUUUUUCAUGAGAGCCUCGAGCUCUUGCCGCACCUCGCCAACCUGGGCCUCAUACUUCUCCCGCUCGGUGCGCUCCAUGGCCGCCCUCUUCUCGGCCUCGGACAGCGCUUGCUUAAGGGUCGCCACCUCAGAUGUGGCCCCUACAAUAGCCACGAUAAUCCUGCAUUUUUUGCAAUUGCACUUUUUUAUAUAUUUAAACAAGGUAUUUCUUACCUUCUUUGUCCUCGAGCUGCUUCUUGGCAAGCCCGAGCUCUUGCUCGGACUGCUCGAGGUUCUGCUUUAGCGUGUCCACUUCCGCAGUCAGUGCGGCAGACGCCAGCAGAGAAGCCUACAUACGCAUAUUGACUCCUUUUUGUUAGACUCCUGCGAGUUUUAUUUGAUCCUCUAUUCGGAUUUUCUUCCCGAACGCCAAAUAGAGCAUCAGGGGCUACUGUCUAUGCGGUAAUAUUUUUUUACACAUUCUUUACUUACCUCAAAGCCUGUUAAAAGGCUGACACAAGCUUCAGUUACUCCGCUCUUGGCGGAAUGAACCUUCUGGACCACCACACUCAUAAUGGUGCGGUGCUCCUCGUCGAUGGAGGCGCCUUUAAGCACCUCCAAUAGAUUGUCCGGCGCCUCCGGUUGGACGGGGGUCACCGGCUCGGUGGGCUUGCUCCUCUUGGAAGGAGGUCGCCCGCCGGACUCUGGAACCUUUGAAGGUACCGGAGUGGUGUCCGGCCUAGGGCCGGACUUGGAGCCCUGGGGAGAUCCAUCCCCUUUACUCCUGGAGUCCGGGAGGUCGCAUUGCGGCUCCUCUAGGAUCACCCUCUCCUGGCUUGGAACCUGUUAGGACGCCACCCCGGCAUCGUCCGUAGGGCGGGGGGAGGUAGCGGGCGGAAGUGAAUUCACGUCUGACGAAUCCAGGGAGCCGCUCGAUGACUCGUCGAGCCCGGCCUUGGGCGGACUGCAUAGAUAUAUUCGACAUAAGGAGAAGCUGUGCAAUAAAGGGACACUACGAGUUACUCUGGUGUCCGAACACUUACGAUCUCGCCGGGCGCUUGGCCCUGUGCGGCCACUCCUCUUCGCCGUCGUCGGCAUUGGUGGAGUAGUCCGAAGGAAGGGUCUUCCCCUUCUUGGACCCUUCGGCCUCCCCGGUCGGGGCGGCCUUCCUCUUCUUUCCCCCCUCCGCUGGGGGGAGGUUUCUUCUUCAUCCUCCUCGUUUUCAUGGGAGGAGUGCGUCUCGGAGCCGUCGGAUGAUGAAUCCGACACCUCCAGGCGCCAAGCACUCUUUCGAGUCCCUGUGGCCUUCUUCUUGGCCUUCUUCUCCGGCACCACAUAGGGUGCCAGAACCAGCAGCUUCGCCAAGCGAGCAUCAGCUGGGUCUUCGGGCAAAGGAGCCGGACAGUCGAUCUGUCCGGACUUCGCCUGCCAGUCCUGUCAAAGGUAAGGGAGCUUAGAUCCCGCAUAGAGUCAAACUAUGAAAAACUAAUACCCUGUAAAAGGUACAAAUAGCUUACCGCACUAGCGUGACGCUGUGUGCUGAAUCCGCGGUCCUUGGAAGCGGAUGCGGGAGCCUCGGCGCCCUUGAAAAGCACCUUCCAGGCAUCUUCGUACGACGUGUCAAAGAGCCUGCUCAGAGUUCAAUGCUGCGCCAGGUUGAACUCCCACAGAUUGAAGGCCCGUUGUUGACACGGGAGGAUCCGGCGGAUGAGCAUAACCUGGACUACGUUGACAAGCUUGAGCUGCUUGUUCACCAGGGUUUGGAUGCAUUUUUGCAGUCCAGUCACCUCUUCUUUGCUGCCCCAUGACAGGCCCGUCUCUUUCCAGGACGCGAGCCGCGUUGGGGGUCUAGACCGGAACUCGGGGGCUACGACCCACUCAGGGUCGCGCGGCUCGGUGAUGUAAAACCACCCCGAUUGCCACCCCUUUAGGGUCUCCAUAAAGGAGCCCUCGAGCCAUAGGACAUUGGGCAUCUUGCCCGCCAUGGUGCCUCCGCACUCCGCCUGGUUGUCGCGCACCACCUUCGGCUUGACAUUGAAAGUCUUGAGCCAUAGGUAGAAAUGGGGGCGGAUGCAGAGGAAAGCCUCGCACACGACGAUAAACGCCGAGAUGUUGAGGAUGAAGUUCGGGGCCAGAUCGUGGAAAUCCAGGCCGUAGUAGAACAUGAGUCCCCGGACGAAUGGGUGGAGAGGAAAGCCCAGUCCGCGGAGGAAGUGGGGAAGGAACACUACCCUCUCAUGGGGCCUUGGGGUAGGGAGGAGCUGCCCCUCUUCGGGAAGCCGGUGCGUGAUGUCGUCAGACAAGUAUCCGGCCUUCCUUAGUUUUUUGAUAUGUCCCUUCGUGACGGAGGAGACCAUCCACUUGCCUCCCGCUCCGGACAUGACUGGAGAAGGUCGAGGUGGGGAAUGCGGGCUUGGGCGCUAGAGCUCGAGUGCGUGGAAGAUGGAUAGGCAAAGGAGGAAGAAGGCGUAGGUAAAAAGGUGGAUCCUUAUCCCCUUAUAUAUGGGCGGAUGCGGCUAUGCGUCCCCACUAGCCUGAUAAAACUUGCUUAUCUCCCAAGCGCCGUAAUCAAUGGCGUGGUUGGGUUACCCACGUCCGUAUUGAUGAGAAUCCCGCAAAUAAAGGGAACACGAUCUCUGCUUUGACAAGACGUGCCAAGGAAACCGCCUAGCGAAACACGCUGAGGUGGGAGGGGGUAAAAACGAUUCGAAUAAAGGCUUGGUCGUAGUGUGAUGUCAUGCUACGGAAUACGUCAGCAGAUUAGAUUUGUGUAAAUAUUAUUCUCUCUACGACAAUAUAUGGAAACUUAUUUUGCAGAGCCGGACACUAUCCUUUGUGUUCAAAAUCUUCUAUGAAGUACUUGGGGGAGGAACCCGCCUUGCAAUAUCGAAGACAAUCUGCGCGCCGGACUCAUCAUCAUUAAAGCCUGGUUCAGGGGCUACUGAGGGAGUCCUGGAUUAGGGGGUGUCCGGAUAGCCGGACUAUACCUUCAGUCAGACUCCUGGACUAUGAAGAUACAAGAUUGAAGACUUCGUCCCGUGUCCGGAAGGGACUUUCCUUGGCGUGGAAGGCAAGCUUGGCGAUACGGAUAUGUAGAUCUCCUACCAUUGUAACCGACUCUGUGUAACCCUAACCCUCUCCGGUGUCUAUAUAAACCAGAGGGUUUUAGUCCAUAGGACAGAACAACAAUCAUACCAUAGGCUAGCUUCUAGGGUUUAGCCUCCUUGAUCUCGUGGAGGAUCUACUCUUGUAAUACCCAUAUCAUCAAUAUUAAUCAAGCAGGACAUAGGGUUUUACCUCCAUCAAGAGGGCCCGAACCUGGGUAAAACAUCGUGUCCCCUGCCUCCUGUUACCAUCCACCUAGACGCACAGUUCGGGACCCCCUACCCAAGAUCCGCCGGUUUUGACACCGACAGACGCCGUUGAGGAUCACGAACUGGUUUGGCAUCUGCUUCCAAAUUUAUUUUAUGUUAACAUAGAGUGGGACUAAUGCCCUUAAGAUCAUCAAGAGUAUAUCCAAUAGCAGCACGAUGCUUCUUCAGAGUUUUCAAUAAUCUUUCUUCUUCAUGCUCUGAAAGGUUAGCACUAAUAAUAACAGGAUAUAUCUUCUUUUCAUCAAGAUAAGUAUAUUUAAGAUUAUCAGGCAACGGUUUAAGCUCGAACAUGGGAUCACCCUUGGGUGGAGGAGGAUCCCCUAAAAUUUCAACAUGCAAAUUGUGUUGCAGAAUAGGUUCCUGUUUAAAGAAUACUUCAUCUAUUUCCCUUCUUUCAUUCAUGAACAUAUCAUUUUCAUGGUCUAGCAAAUAGUGUUCUAAAGGAUCACUAGGAGGUACGGCAAUAGAAGCAAGACCAAUAAUCUCAUCCUUACUAGGUAAUUCUUCCUCACGAUGUUGUUUACUAAAUUUAGAAAAAUUAAACUCAUGAACCAUAUCAUCCAAGCCAAUAGUAACAACAUUCUUUUCGCAAUCUAUCCUAGCAUUAACAAUGCUCAAGAAGGGUCUACCAAAUAUAAUGGGACAAAAGCUAUCUUGCGGAGAAGUUAGAACAAGAAAAUCAGCAGGAUAUUUAGUUUUCCCACACAAGACUUCAACAUCUCUAACAAUUCCAAUUGGUGAAAUAGUAUCUCUAUUGGCAAGUUUAAUUGUGACAUCAAUACCUUCUAACUCAGCAGGUGCAAUUUCAUUCUUAAUUUCUUCGUAUAAGGUAUGCAGUAUAACACUAGCACUCACACCCAUAUCACAUAAGCCAUAAUAACAAUGAUCUCAUAUUUUAACAGAAAUAACAGGCACGCCUACCACAGGUCUAUGUCUAUCUUUAGCACAAGGUUUAGCAAUUCUAGCAGUUUCACCUUCGAACUGAAUAACAUGCCCAUCAAUAUUAUCAGACAAGAGAUCUUUAACAAUAGCAAUAUUAGGUUCUACUCUAACUUGCUCAGGAGGUGUAUAAGUUCUAAUAUUGCUUUUACAAACAACAAUUGAAGCUUUAGCAUGAUCCUUUACUCUAACAGGGAAAGGUGGUUUCUCAACAUAAGAAGUAGGAACAAUAGGAUCAUUAUAAGUGACAGUCUUUUCUUCAACUUUAAUAGGUGCAGCUACUUUUACUUCUAUGGGAGGAUGAUAUUUAAACCACUUCUCCUUAGGGAGAUCAACAUAAGUAGCAAAAGAUUCAUAGAAAGAAGCUACUAUCUCAGAGUCAAGUCCACAUUUAGUGCUAAACUUACGGAAAAUAUCGGUGUCCAUAAAAGAUUUAACACAAUCAAAUUUAGGUGUCAUACCUGACUCUUUACCUUCGUCGAGGUCCCAAUCUUCAGAGUUGCGUUUAAUUCUAUCCAAUAAAUUCCAUCUGAAUUCAAUAGUAUUCAUCAUAAAAGAGCCAGCACAAGAAGUAUCGAGCAUGGUGCGAUUGUUAUCAGAAAGCCAAUCAUAUAAAUUUUGAAUAAUCAUUUCUCUUGAGAGCUCAUGAUUGGGGCAUGAAUAUAACAUUGAUUUAAGCCUCCCCAAGCUUGAACGAUGCUUUCUCCUUCGCGAGGCCAAAAAUUAUAUAUAUAAUUGCGAUCACGAUGAACAAGAUGCAUAGGGUAAUACUUUUGAUGAAAUUUCAAUUUCAAUCUUUUAUAGUUCCAUGAUCUCAUAUCAUCACAUAGCCUAUACCAUAUCAAUGUGUCUCCCUUCAAAGAUAAAGGGAAGACCUUCUUCUUAGCAACAUCAUCGGGUAUACCUACAAGCUUAAAUAAUCCACAAACUUCAUCCACAUAUAUUAAGUGCUCAUCAGGAUGCUUUGUUCCAUCUCCUGUAAAAAGUUUAGCUAGCAGUUUUUCCAUCAUACCCGAAGGAAAUUCAAAAGGAGUUUCAUUUUCAAUAGGUUAAGUAGGUUGAGGAGCAACUCUUUGCUCUACUGGACGGGGUGAAGAUACCCCGAACAAGCCCCUCAGAGAAUUACUUUCCAUAGUAACAAGUGACAGUAAAUUUCAGCACACUAUAUAAUUUUUUCCUUACCAAAUUCCACCUACCAAAGGCGCUACACUCCCCGGCAACGGCGCCAGAAAAGAGUCUUGAUGACCCACAAGUAUAGGGGAUCUAUCGUAGUCCUUUCGAUAAGUAAGAGUGUCGAACCCAACGAGGAGCAGAAGGAAAUGAUAAGCGGUUUUCAGCAAGGUAUUCUCUGCAAGUACUGAAAUAAGUGGUAACAGAUAGUUUUGUGAUAAGGUAAAUUGUAACGAGCAACAAGUAACAAAAGUAAAUAAAGUGCAGCAAGGUGGCCCAAUCCUUUUGUAGCAAAGGACAACCCAGAACAAACUCCUAUAUAAGGAAAAGCGCUCCCGAGGACACGUGGGAAUAUCGUCAAGCUAGUUUUCAUCAUGUUCAUAUGAUUCGCGUUCGAUACUUUGAUAAUUUGAUAUGUGGGCAGACCGGUGCUUGGGUGCUGUUCUUACUUGAACAAGCAUCCCACUUAUGAUUAACCUCUAUUGCAAGCAUCCGCAACUACAACAAAAGUAUUAAGGUAAACCUAACCAUAGCAUGAAACAUGUGGAUCCAAAUCAGCCCCUUACGAAGCAACGCAUAAACUAGGGUUUAAGCUUCUGUCACUCUAGCAACCCAUCAUCUACUUAUUACUUCCCAAUGCCUUCCUCUAGGCCCAAAUAAUGGUGAAGUGUUAUGUAGUUGACGUUCACAUAACACCACUAGAGGCUAGACAACAUACAUCUUAUCAAAAUAUCAAACGAAUACCAAAUUCACAUGACUACUAAUAGCAAGACUUCUCCCUUGUCCUCAGGAACAAACGUAAUUACUCACGAAGCAUAUUCAUGUUCAUAAUCAGAGGGGUAAUAAUAUGCAUAUAGGAUCUGAACAUAUGAUCUUCCACCAAAUAAACCAACUAGCAUCAACUACAAGGAGUAAUCAACACUACUAGCAACCUACUAGCACCAAUCCCGGACUUUGAGACAAGAAUUGGAUACAAGAGAUGAACUAGGGUUUGGAGAUGAGAUGGUGCUGGUGAAGAUUUUGAUGGAGAUUGCCCUCUCCCGAUGAGAGGAGCGUUAGUGAUGACGAUGGUGAUGAUUUCUCCCUCCCGGAGGGAAGUGUCCCCGGUAGAACAGCUCUGCCGGAGCCCUAGAUUGGUUCCGCCAAGGUUCCGCCUCAUGGCGGCGGAGUCUCGUCCCGAAAGGUUGCUUCUAAUUUUUUUCUCAUCGAAAGACUUCAUAUAGCAGAAGAUGGACGUCGGAGACCCACCAGGGGGCCCACGAGGUAGGGGGCGCGCCCUAGGAGGGGGGCACCCCCCCACCCUCGUGAGCAGGGUGUGGGCCCCCUGGCCUUCAUCUUUGGCGAGGAUUUUUCUUUAUUUAUUUUAAGAUGUUCCGUGGAGUUUCAGGACUUUUGGAGUUGCGCAGAAUAGGUCUCUAAUAUUUGCUCCUUUUCCAGCCCGAAUUCCAGCUGCCGGCAUUCUCCCUCUUCAUGUAAACCUUGUAAAAUAAGAGAGAAUAGCCAUAAGUAUUGUGACAUAAAGUGAAAUAGCAGCCCAUAAUGCAAUAAAUAUUGAUAUAAAAGCAUGAUGCAAAAUGGACGUAUCAACCAUCUAUCACAAAGCCAUCUGGCUGUUCCAUAUAGAUUUCCUCAUUCAGCUCUCCAUUCAGAAAAGCCGUCUUAACAUCCAUCUGGUGGACGAGAAGACCAUGCAAGGCCGCUGUCGGUGUCAAAACCGGCGGAUCUCGGGUAGGGGGUCCCGAACUAUGCGUAUAGGCCGGAUGGUAACAGGAGGCAAGGGACACGAAGUUUUACCCAGGUUCGGGCCCUCUCGAUGGAGGUAAAACCCUAUGUCCUGCUUGAUUAAUAUUGAUGAUAUGGGUAGUACAAGAGUAGAUCUACUACGAGAUCAGAGAGGCUAAACCCUAGAAGCUAGCCUAUGGUAUGAUUGUUGUUGUGUAUGUUGUCCUACGGACUAAAACCCUCCGGUUUAUAUAGACACCGGAGAGGGUUAGGGUUACACAAAGUCGGUUACAAUGGUAGGAGAUCUACAUAUCCGUAUCGCCAAGCUUGCCUUCCACGCCAAGGAAAGUCCCUUCCGGACACGGGACAGAGUCUUCAAUCUUGUAUCUUCAUAGUCCAGGAGUCCGGCUAAAGGUAUAGUCCGGCCAUCCGGACACCCCCUAAUCCAGGACUCCCUCAGUAGCCCCCGAACCAGGCUUUAAUGACGAUGAGUCCGGCGUGCAGAUUGUCUUCGGGAUUGGAAGGCGGGUUCUCCUCCAAAUUCGUGUACCUGUUGAAUAAAGUCCGGUUUCUUGUAGAUGUUGUGCUCCUUGGCUUCUACGCACAAUAAUGGCCGCUUCCCACGUGUCAAACGAACAUGAAAAGUCUGAGUGUUUUUACAUUCACACCCCUAGCCGCGUAAAUGAGCUGACCUAUUUAAGGGGACGAGGAUUUAGAUCCAAACCACAUCUUCCCCCCUUCGCGAGUGUUCAUCAGAGCGCAUCCGACAAAGGUCCAUUCCACCAUGGCCAGCCGUCGCGACUCCUCCAUUCGCCCUUCCAGCCCUCAGCCUGGAUAUUGGGACAGAUGCUCCAUCCCGCAUAGCGAGCUAGUGACGCUCCAGACCAAGGGAUUUCCCCCCGGCCUAUAUGGUCCCGGUCCGAGCCGGCCUUGCCAUCUAUAACAGCGGAGAGCAAGCGGAGAGUGCCCCUAAUCCCUCCAAAGGAGAGCGGGUGUGCCUCGUCCCUUAUUUAAUAAGGGGGCUCGGAUUUCCAAUCCAUCCAUUUCUCCGGGGGCUCCUGGAGUUCUAUGGCCUCCAGCUACACAAUCUCACGCCUGCCUCCGUAUUGCAUAUCGCGGGCUUCAUAGCCCUCUGCGAGCUGUUUUUGGGUAUCGAGGCUCAUUUUGGGCUAUGGAAAAGGUUAUUCUGCCUUGUGCCCCGCUCUAAGGAGGGGUCAAUGUAUCAAGUGGGCGGAGCCGAAGUGUGGCGCAUCGCCGGGACUGGAUAUCUGUCCGGAACCCCAAAGAAGGCGUCCGAAGACUGGCCCUCGGAAUGGUUUUAUAUAGAAGACGUCCCGCUGCCGGAUCCUGUCCGGAUCGGCCUCCCUGAAUUCGACAGUGCUCCCUUAAAGUAGCGCCUAAGCUGGCGUCCAUGGAGCCCUCAGAGGGAAAGUGACAGGGACAUCAUUUACCUGAUGGGCCGAAUAAGAUUGUUAGCCCAUUCCGGACUAACCAUGAUCGGGGUUAUGGCCGAAUGCAUUAUGCGGGGGGUGCAACCGCUUCAGUAUAGAAGCCACCCCAUGUGGGACUUCAACGGGGAGGACGACGCCACCCGCUACGGCCGUAAGGGGCCGGAUUCAGCUGUCGCUCUACUAAAGAUCUUGUCCACUUUGUAUAAGGGAGAAGAGGAGGAAUUUCUCCUCGUCAACCCACAGGGUGGAUUCUCUAUGCACAAUCCCCCAAGCUGGGUAAGCGGUCGUAUUUACUUGCCCAUCCGUUUUGUAUUCCCAUUGUUAAAUAUUCAGUCUGACGACUUCAACGCAGGAACUGUGCCGGGCUGUUAAGGAAAUAAGCAGCCCUCCUCCACAACCCGAGGACCCAGGACGGUCCCUCGACCCGGCCUCUCAAGAGGAUCCGGACAUAUCUGUGGAGCUGAUUGAUUGAGUGUUCCAUCAAUUGAGCAAGGACAACGCCUUGGUGGCCAUUACGGCCGAUUACCCAGGGCUAAUUCCGGCCUCCCAGGUAACUGAGAUCGAAGUCCCAGUACCCCGAAUAGGUGUCCGCCCUCUCGUGUUUUCAGUUUCCUGAUUACAACUGAACUUUGCAGGGGAGGUUUUUAAGGCGGAAGGCCGAUCCUGCGGUGACAAGCCAACGAGGGGCCGCAGGGCCCCCGUGGGCAGAAAAGAAGUGCAGUCCGGACCAAGGCGUCAGCGCAAAGGUAUGGCGCGCCCCCUUAUCCUAGGUGUUAUACCUUCGAGGCACAUUGACACUCAUGCUCUCUUCAGGACAAAGAGACCUCGUCCGACUAUAUUCGGAGAGGCUGCCAAUCGCGCCUCCACCAGCCAGGCUCCAAAGCCUAGUCCGGAGGCGGAGGCGAACGCAAGGCGCGCGCCAGACGCUCCUCCGACGGAGGAUGUGGACGGGUUGUCUGCCACCAACUUUGAGGUGGAGAGUGCCAUGAACCACAGGUGUCGCCGGGCAAUUCUUCGCGACGCUUGUUUCUCCCAAGGGGCGUUAGAUGCCUUCAACUCGGGAGAUGCGUACCUCCGUGCCGCUCAAAAUGGUCUAGCCAGAGCCACGGAGCAAUAUGUAAAAUACAUACGAGUAAGAAUUUUUUUGUAAUUAUAUAUAUAUAUAUAUAUAUAUAUAUAUAUAUAUAUAUAUAUAUACCAGUAGCCCCCGAGACUUGAAACAGUUAGAAUAACUGAUCUAAGGAUCAUUUGUUAUGCAGGUUCUUACAGAAAAGAAUUCCCUACUGUCCAAGGAGCUGGAAGAGUGCAAAACCCAACUUGAGGCCGCACUAGCCGCGGCAGGGGAGCCCAAGGAGACCCCCUCUGGUAAUAUACACUUCGAAAGAUAAGUAUUUUGCGAAGCACAGUAUGGGUGCGAAUCUGACAAAUGAAAUUGCAGAUGGCGCCGGAUUGAAUCUGGAAAGGCAACACCUCCUACGCCAGCUAAAGGCUGGUGAGAAGGUGCUGACAAAGGUGAGGCGGGAGAAGAACGAUCUCCAAGAUGCCAACACCAAGCCGGGCGUCGAGUUGAAAGAUGUUCGUGCCCAGCUGUCAGACUCCGUGAAGGAGAAUCAGCGGCUUCGGCGCGACAUAUUUAGUAAGUGCUUGAACGAACCUUUGAAAGAAAGUUCGGCGGGGAAGUCGACUAAUAGAGCAAUGUCUGUAGGUGUGCUAACAGGUCAUCCUGCAAAGGAGAUGCCCGGUUCUACGGGUGACCUUCUUCCCGAGCUCUCGCAACUGUUUGAUCGAGUUCGGUAGGCGAUGCAAGGCGUCGCCCAUGCCCUGUGGCCAUCCGUCUCCAUGCCCGAAGGUCUUGGAGAGCUUGCGGAGAAGCUAAAGGGAGCACGACGGCACUUCUGAUUGUGGAAGAUAUCGACCUUCCGUCAAGGCGCUAGGGAGGCCGGGGCCAUGGUGAAGACGCGGUACGCAAAGGCUGACCCCAACCACAUGGCCGAGAUCGGUCCUGUAGGGCCUGAUGGGAAGGAGAUCCCUGUAAGCUUAGUAUACGGCCAAGUAGAGUUGGCCGCAAAGUAUUCCCAGCAGGACUGUAAAUUAGACAGCCUAUUAGAUGGUAUUGAAGAGGAAUACAAUCAGUCAAAAUGACUAUGUAAUUUAAUUGACAUUUAUAAUGCCUUCUAGUCGGAUUGUAGAUCAUUUGUCAUGGCCAACCUUUUCGCUUCAGCCUUGGGACCUGACGGUCCGGAGUGUGUCUGAAUUCCCAUGCGGUUAUAUAGGAACCGGGAAUGCAUGGAGACCAGGUGUAGGGGUCAUUAGUGCGUGAACAGACAAGUGCCCGACUAGUUAUGUUAUAUUACAUGGUUAGUAAGAAACAUCUUCCAGGGAGAAUAGUUCCGUUAGGGGUUCCUUUCCCUGGGAGGCAUGCCCUAAGGUGCAUGUCCAUGCUGCGAAAAGAAACGCAGGAAAAACAUCUGGGGGCGUAUACAUAAAAAUAAAAAAGAUCAUCUUUAGUUCACCGACCGAAUAUUCCCUUAAGAACGCUAGCUUUUGGCUUCACCCAGUCUGAGGUACACGUCCGGCUGACCCGGCAGUAACAAUCGCAGAGGUGCUCCCUUUACCACCUAGCCAAACAAUCGGGAACGUAGGGGUAAGCACAGGAGCCAGGCAACCCAGCUUGGCCAAAACUUAAGUCAUAUCGAUGCAUAUAAUGGUGAAUAAAAGGUACAUGCGGAAGUGUGACACAUGUGUUGGGCAUGAAGCCCGUAGGAAUAAGCUUCUAUUUAAAGAAGCCCCCAGGUUUAAUGAGCGUGGAUAGCGCGUCACUUUAUGAGCCUUUAAAGUCUAUAACAGAGAGAGAGAGAGAAGAAGAGAAAUGUAAGACAGAAAAUAUAUAAAAAAUGGACCAAGGAAGGAGACGAACACAGAGUCCGGCGCUAGGCGUAGAAUCUUCGGAGACGGGCUGUGUUCCAUGGGUUCGGCUCGAGUCAGUUAUCCGAUGCAUCCCGCAGGCGGUACGCUCCACCAGUCAGGACUUGGUCAAUUAUGAAGGGACCUUCCCACUUGGGCUUGAGUUUGUCCUUUUUCUUGUCCGGUAGUCGUAGAACUAAUUCGCCAACGUUGUAAUUUUUGGCCCGUACUUCUCUCCUUUGGUAUCUUCGAGCCUGCUGUUGAUAGAAUGCGGAACGGGCUUUUGCCACGUCACGCUCCUCCUCCAAUGCGUCCAAGCUGUCCUGCCGAUCGAGCUCGGCUUCUCUUUCUUCGUACAUGCACACUCGAGGUGAGUCAUGAAUUAUGUCGCAAGGCAAAACUGCCUCUGCGCCGUACACCAUAAAGAAUGGUGUGUAUCCGGUGGUGCGAUUCGGCGUGGUCCGCAGCCCCCAGAGUCUGGAGUCGAGCUCCUCUACCCAGUGCGUGUUAGAUUCCUUGAGGGACCGCACUAAUCUGGGUUUGAUGCCGCUCAUGAUAAGACCAUUUGCAUGUUCGAGCUGGCCGUUAGUUUGUGGGUGAUAGACGGAAGCAUAAUCGAGCUUGAUGCCCAUGUUUUUGCACCAGAGUUUUACCUCGUCGACCGUGAAGUUCGUGUCGUUAUCAAUGAUGAUGCUGUGGGGGACGCCGUAAUGGUGUACAACCCCGGAUAUAAAGUCUAUCACCGGUCCGGAUUCGGCCGUCUUAACAGGCUUGGCUUCUAUCCAUUUGGUGAACUUAUCCACCAUGACCAGUAAGUAUUUUUUCUUGUGGGUUCCGCCUUUAAGGGGUCCAACCAUGUCAAGCCCCCAGACCGCGAAGGGCCAAGUAAUGGGGAUAGUUUGGAGGGCGGUGGGUGGCAUAUGGCUUUGGUUUGCAAAGAGCUGGCAACCGGUGCAUCGUUGGACCAAGUCCUGAGCGUCUGCUCGGGCCGUCGGCCAAUAAAAGCCCGUACGGAAGGCCUUGCUUACAAGGGACCGAGCUGCAGCGUGAUGACCGCCGAGUCUGGCAUGAAUUUCAGCCAGGAGGUUCCGCCCCUCCUCUUUGGAGAUGCACCUUUGAAGGACUCCGGUAGUGCUUUUCUUAUAAAGCUCUCCCUCGUGGACUCUGUAGGCUUUGGAUCGCCGCACUAUGCAGCGUGCCUCAUUUUGGUCCUCGGGGAGUUCCUGCCUAGUAAGGUAGGCGAGGAAUGGUUCUGUCCAUGGGGCGAUGACGGCCAUUAUUACGUGGGCUGAAGGUGUUAUUUCAUUGGCAGAGCCUCCGAUUAUGUCAGGAUGUUCGGUGUCGGGCAGUGCGGUUGGGUCUGGGCUGUUAUUGUUCGGCUCCCCUUCCCAUACUAUGGAUGGCUUGAACAGCCUUUCCAAGAAGAUGUUGGGGGGACUACAUCGCGUUUUGCGCCGACGCGUGCCAGGACAUCUGCCGCCUGAUUAUUUUCCCGGGCUAUAUGGUGAAAUUCAAGCCCCUCGAACCGAGCUGACAUUUUUAGGAUGGCAUUGCGGUAAGCUGCCAUUUUUGGAUCCUUGGCAUCGAAGUCUCCAUUUAUUUGGGAUAUUGCGAGGUUCGAGUCCCCGCGCACCUCUAGGCGUUGAAUGCCCAUGGAUACUGCCAUCCGGAGACCAUGUAAAAGGGCCUCAUAUUCGGCUGCAUUGUUGGAGUCCGUGUACAUAAUCUGGAGUACAUAUUGAACUGUGUUCCUGUGGGGGACGUCAAAACGAUGCCGGCCCCCAGUCCGGCCAACAUUUUGGAGCCGUCGAAAUGCAUGAUCCAAUUUGAAUAUGUGCCGCACUCUUUAGGGAGUUCAGCCUCCGUCCAUUCUGCGACGAAGUCGGCCAAGACUUGCGACUUGAUGGAUCGCCGUGGCUUAUAAGUUAUGUCGAACGGGAGGAGCUCAAUGGCCCAUUUUGCAAUCCGACCCAUUGUGUCACGGUUGUUUAUAAUAUUGUUAAGUGGUAUUUUCGAGGCUACUGUUAUUGAACACUCUUGAAAGUUGUGUCGUAGCUUCCGGGAUGCCAUGAGUACCGCGUACGCAAUCUUUUGAUAAUGUGGGUACCGUGAUUUGCAGGGAGUGAGGACAGUGGACACAUAAUAGACCAGCUUUUGAAGGGGGAAUUUGUGUCCGUCCGCUUCUCGUUCGACGACGAGCAUCGCGCUUACAACCUGAUGUGUUGCUGCAAUGUAUAAUAGCAUUGGUUCGCCAAUGUUUGGCGCGGCCGGGAUUGGGUUUGUUGCCAGUAUGGCUUUUAUUUCGUCGAGUCCUGCCGUGGCUGCAUCCGUCCAUUUGAAGUGUUCGGUGCGCCGAAGGAGGCGGUAAAGGGGUAGGGCCUUUUCUCCCAAGCGGGAGAUAAAGCGGCUUAGAGUGGCCACACAUCCGGUUAACUUUUGUAUUUGUUUGAGGUCCUUUGGGAUAUCCAGUUGCGACAGAGCUCAGAUCUUGGUUGGAUUUUCUUCAAUUCCUCUACCGGAUACAAUGAAGCCCAAGAGCUUUCCGGCUGGAAUGCCGAAAAUGCAUUUUUCCGGGUUGAGCUUGAUGUCGUAUGUUCGGAGGUUAUCAAAUGUGAGCCUCAAGUCGUCUACUAGAGAUUCAACAUGUCUUGUUUUGACGACCACAUCAUCUACAUAUGCCUCCAUUGUUUUCCCGAUCUGGCUUGCCAGACAUGUCUGAAUCAUGCGCUGAUAUGUUGCACCGGCGUUUUUGAGCCCGAAGGGCAUCGUGUUGAAGCAGAAUGGGCCGUAUGGUGUGAUAAAUGCCAUUGCGGCUUGGUCUGGUUCUGCCAUCUUGAUUUGAUGGUAGCCGGAAUAUGCGUCGAGGAAACACAACGAAUCGUGUCCUGCGGUAGCGUCGAUAAUUUGAUCGAUGCGGGGGAGGAGGAAGGGAUCCUUUGGGCAAGCCUUGUUAAGGUCUUUAAAAUCAACACACAGGCGCCAGGAUUUGUCCUUCUUUGGUACCAUCACCAGGUUUGCUAGCCAGUCCGGAUGUUUUAUAUCUCUGAUGAACCUGGCCUCCAAUAGCUUUGCUAGCUCCUCUCCCAUGGCCUGUCUCUUAGGUUCGAAAAAAUGCCGAAGAGCCUGUUUGACAGGUUUGAAUCCUAUUUGGAUAUUUAAGCUGUGCUCGGCCAGCCUGCGUGGGAUUCCUGGCAUGUCUGAAGGGUGCCAGGCGAAAAUGUCCCAGUUCUCUCGUAGGAACUCUCGUAGUGCAGCGUCUACAUCAGGGUUUAACUGUGCCCCGAUGGAAGCUGUUUUAUUGAGGUCCGUUGGAUGGACUUGGAAUUUGACUAUUUCGUCUGCCGGUUUAAAGGAGGUGGACUUGGAUCUUUUGUUGAGUACCACAUCGUCCCUAUUCACCAUAGAGCGCAGCGCAGUCAGUUCCUCGGCCGCUAGGGCUUCGGAUAGUGCCUCGAGGGCCAGUGCGGCUGUCUUGUUUUCGGCGCGGAGUGCUAUGUCCGGAUCACUAGCGAGAGUGAUGAUCCCGUUAGGCCCAGGCAUCUUGAGCUUCAUGUACCCGUAAUGGGGUAUUGCUUGGAAGAUUGUAAACGCUUCCCGCCCUAGCAGAGCGUGAUAACCACUGCUGAACGGAGCCACAUGGAACAUGACCUCUUCGGACCUGUAAUUAUCCGGCGUGCCGAACACCACAUCUAGUGUGAUUUUUCCUGUACAGCGCGCUUCCUGACUAGGGAUUAUUCCUCUAAAGGUUGUGCUGCUUCGCUCAAUGCGGUUCCAGUCUAUUUCCAUUUUUGAAGGGUUUCCUCAUAAAUGAGGUUCAAUCCGCUGCCGCCGUCCAUGAGUACCUUGGUAAGACGAAAGUCGUCCACUAUUGGACUGAGGACCAAUGCGAUUGGUGCUCGGGCUGUUCGGAAUUUAGGUUCAUCACUGGUGUUGAAGGUAAUAGCCGUGUCACUCCAUGGGUUUAUUAUUGCUACUUGGUAGACUUCGGCAAGGCUGCGGAGUGUCCUUUUUCGCAUAGUAUUUGAUGCGAAAGUCUCGAAGACUAUUAAUACCAUAUUGGUGUCUCUGGGGUGGCUUUUUGUGGCCUCCAGAAUUAGGAGAUUUUCGCCAAUUUUGGCCACCUGCCGGAGUAUCCAACAUGCUCUGAGGCUGUGAGUUGGUGUGGCGUCCUCUGUACUGGGAAUUUUACAGGGUCCAUUGAGCCAUCCUUCCAGUACGGUUCCAUGCCCUGUAGAGGGUUUUUGCUUUUUAGUGCUUGACCCGGGUGUCUGGUGAUGAUGCACCCUUUUAUUUCGGACUAGGUUUGUAUUCAGGGCCGGAUUGUCCCAAAAUUUGAUUUCGGUUUUCCAGGCGCUUUCCAUCGCACAGUACUUUCGUACAAUGGACACCAAGUCAGCGAAGUGUGUAAUAUCACGGCGACUUAUGGCGUUGAGUAUUCCCUUGUCCGUGCAAUUAUUGCAGAAGAUUGAGAUUGCGUCUUCCUCGCGGCAAUCCCUUAGCCUGUUCUUAACCAGGAAGAAUCUAGCCCAGUAAUGAUGUACUGUUUCAUUGGGCUCUUGCCUGAUUUUGGAUAGAUCGCUUAUGUUGGGAUGGGUGGGUGGAAUUAAAUCUGAAGCCUCACCCCAUCUGAGGCUCAGAGGCCGAGGAAUUUCCGAACUCGAAAAUUUGGAUUCCUGGAUGUUGUCCAAUGAAUCCAGCCCGUCGCCUGACUCUAAGUUCAGGUCUUGAGUGAUAUCCUCCCCUCCACGGGUAUCCGGCUUGGAGGGAUCGGGAAUCCGGACGUAGCGAGUCCUUACGAUAGAUGAAGGGUCGUCGCGCUGUCCCUCUACCACGGCAACAUGAUGGGUGACUUGGGGAGAGUUAAUCUCUCUCAGAUCGGGUUUAGGCCCAAUCUGGUCGUAAUCCAUAGCGACUCCCAGGGCGGCGAAGCGAUCCAAGAGCUCAUUUAUGGAGGAGAGCUCCAUUGGAUCUAACUGCUCGGCGAGUUCCGAGUUGACAUGAAGAUUGUUUUUGAUGGCUCGAGAGGUCAUCGUCGGCGCAGAAGCCGAACAGGCGGUCAUAAGGAAACCACCUAGCCGGAGGGUUUGGCUGACAGCCAAAGAUCCCUUAGCAACGGUGCCGUCUUUAAAGACGGGGCGAGGCAUCCUUCCUGAUGGCGACGACACAGAGGAACUCUCAAUGAAAGCACCAAUGUCGGUGUCAAAACCGGCGGAUCUCAGGUAGGGGGUCCCGAACUGUGUGUCUAGACCGGAUGGUAACAGGAGGCAAGGGACAUGAAGUUUUACCCAGGUUCGGGCCCUCUCGAUGGAGGUAAAACCCUACAUCCUGCUUGAUUAAUAUUGAUGAUAUGGGUAGUAGAAGAGUAGAUCUACCACGAGAUCGGAGAGGCUAAACCCUAGAAGCUAGCCUAUGGUAUGAUUGUUGUUGUGUAUGUUGUCCUACGUACUAAAACCCUCCGGUUUAUAUAGACAUCAAAGAGGGUUAGGGUUACACAAAGUCGGUUACAAUGGUAGGAUAUCUACAUAUCCGUAUCGCCAAGCUUGUCUUCCACGCCAAGGAAAGUCCCUUCCGGACACGGGACGGAGUCUUCAAUCUUGUAUCUUCAUAGUCCAGGAGUCCGGCUGAAGGUAUAGUUCGGCCAUCCGGAUACCCCCUAAUCCAGGACUCCCUCAGCCGCCAACGAGAGUAAUACUCUAAUGGUGGUCAGUCUAGCCACAGGUGAAUGAGUAUCGAAGAAAUCUUCAUAACCCUUGGCCACAAGCCUAGCCUUGUACUUUUCAAUCGUACCAUCGGACCUAAGCUUCUUUUUGAACACCCACUUAAAUCCCAAUGGUUUGCAACCAUAGGGACACUCAGUGAUCUCCCAUGUCCCAUUAGCCAUGAUGGAAUCCAUCUCGCUACGGACCGCAUCCUUCGAGUAGUCAGCUUCUGGAGAGGCAUACGCUUCUGAAAUAGAAGUAGGAGUAUCAUCCACGAGGUACACGAAGAAAUCAACACCAAAAGUCUUUGCAGUCCUUUGUCUCUUGCCCCUACCAAGAGUUUCCUCGUCAUCCUCCUCGGGAUUUUCAUCAUGUGUUUGUUCAUAAUAUUCCAUAGGGAUGGCAGGUUCAGGAGUCUCCUCAGAUUUCUGUCUAGAAGUGCUUUGCAUAUCUCUCAUAGGAAAAAUAUCCUCGAAGAAUGUAGCAUCCUUAGACUCCAUAAUUGUACCGACCUUCUGGUCAGGUACCUCAUAUUUUACUACUAGAAAUCUAUAGCCAACGCUGUUCUUAGCGUAGCCCAAAUUAACGCGGUACACAGUCUUUGGUCCAAGCUUACGCUUUUUGGGGAUCGGCACAUUGACUUUCGCCAAACAGCCCCAAGUACGCAAGUACGAGAGUGUUGUCCUUCUCUUUGCCCAUUUCUCACAGGGAGUAAUCUCAUUAUCCUUUGUCGGAACUUUAUUCAGGACAUGACAUGCCGUCAAUAUAGGCUCCCCCCCACCAUGCCUUGGAUAAACCUGAUGUAUCUAAUAUGGCGUUAACCAAAUCAUUUAGAGUACGGUUUUUCCACUCGACAACCCCGUUUGACUGGGGUGAAUAGGGAGGCGUUCUCUCAUGAAUAAUGUCAUGUUCCACACAGAAGGAAUCAAACUCACUCGAGAAGUACUCUCCACCAUGAUCUGACCGGACUCAUUUAAUUUUCUUUUCAAGUUGAUUCUCAACUUCUACCUUAUAGAUUUUAAAGUAGUGUAGAGCCUCAUCUUUAGUAUUUAAAAGAUACACAUAGCAAUAUCUAGUGGAAUCAUCUAUCAAUGUCAUGAAGUAUUUCUUUCCACCUUUAGUCAACACACCAUUCAUCUCACACAGAUCAGAAUGUAUGAGUUCUAAUGGUGCCAAGUGUCUCUCCUCCGCGGCCUUGUGAGGCUUGCGAGGUUGCUUAGCUUGCACAGAUGAAAGGCACUUAGAACCUUUGGCUAAAGUAAAACUCGGGAUUAAAUCCAACUUGGCUAGCCGCGUCAUAACACGGAAACUAAUGUGACAAAGACGUGAAUGCCAAACUUCAGAUUCAUUAACAUUCGAAUGAACAUGGUUCACGACUUUAUUACAAAAAUCUGCGAGGGAAAGGCGGAAAAUCCCUCCGCUCUCAUAACCUUUUCCAACAAAGAGUCCAUAUUUCGUAACAACUAAUUUAUUAGACUCAAAAACCAACUUAAACCCUUCUCUACAUAGAAGGGAGCCACUAACGAGGUUCUUCUUGAUGGCGGGGACAUGCUGCAUGUUCUUCAGCUGCACGAUCCUUCCCGAAGUAAACUUCAGAUCGACCGUGCCAACACCAUGAACAAAAGCACUCGCGCCAUUCCCCAUUAAUACGGACCCGUGGCCUGUGACCUGGUAAGAAGUGAACAAUGAAAUGUCAGCACACACAUGUACACCUGCACCUGUGUCCACCCACCAAUCGGUGGGCUGAAACACUGAAAAAACAGUAAAUAAAUUACCGUACCCAGGUGCACCAUUCUCAUUGUUGUCCACAAUCAUGUUGAUGGAUUUGGAGUCCUGUCCUGACUUCUUGUACUUGUUUGGGCACUUGUUGGCCCAAUGUUCAACCGAACCACAAGUAAAGUAGCCCUCAUCCUUCUUGUUCUUCUUAAAGGUCUUCUUACCCUUCUUCUUAAAGUCGGUAUUGUGUUGGACACUGUUCUUUCCCUUGGGCUUGUGGGAGUUGAAGUUCUUCUGGUUCACCAUGUUGGCGACAGAAGUCCCUUCGGCCCCUUUUCCGUGCGAGUCCUUUGCCCUUGAAUUCUGCUCAACACUCAGAUGGCCAAUGACAUCCUUCACAAAGAAUUCACGCCUCUGAUGUUUCAGAGUGGUGGCAAAGUUCCUCCAGGAAUUAGGGAGCUUAGCGAUUAUGCAGCCCGGGACAAACUUGCCCGGUAACUCGCACUCAAGAAGUUCAAGCUCCUUAAUAAUGCAUAUUAUCUCAUGAGUCUGCUCCAAUACAGGAUGGUUUUCAACCAUCUUGUAAUCGUGGAACUGCUUUAUAAUAUACAUCUCGCUCCCGGCAUCGGCGGCCCCGAACUUAGAUUCGAGCGCCUCCCACAAGUCCUUGGCGACAUGCACAUGUAAAUAUGCGUCGACCAGUUUAUCUCCGAUCACGCUAAGAACUGCUCCGAGGAACACAACGGUGGCCUCCUUGAACGCCUUCUCCUGUUCAGGAGCAAUCGUUCUUGUGGAGACACCGAUGACCCAGAACACGUUCAUAGCCGUGAGCCAUAAAGUGGUCUUAGUCCGCCAACGCUUAAAAUAUGAACCGGUAAACUUAUCCAGUUUCAGUGCAGCGGCAAAGCCACUUGCCGAAAAAUUCCUACACAUAAUAGGUUUUUGGAUUGUAGAGUAAAUAGGCAAUUUCUCGAUUAAAUUAAUCCACGAGUAAAUCACUAGCAUGACAUUGAAACAAAUAAACGCAUACUGAUAUUCAGUCAAGCUAGCACAUACUAUGCUAAUUACAGAAAGAUCUACGUACAACGCUAGCAUGGCUAAAACAGAAAACAGUAGGAGCGGGAUAAACGAGUUAUACCCUCCAGUAGGCCAUGCAGAGGCUGCGGCUUUGGUGGGAGCAGCGGCGUCCUCGACGGCCUUCUUGUCGGCUUCAGCUUUCUCGGCGGCGGCACGUUCGGCGUCGGUGGACAUGGUGAUGAUGAAGGCGACACGGACGUAGAGGAAGUAGACGAUCGGAAGCGAGCCGUCGCGUAAUCGCUGCCCAAAAACCUAUUCGCCCCUCACCCCGUACAGAAACCAGAAGGGCGUGGUUUCGGAGACCCGCUCUCCCGUCGACCAUGUACGCGGCGGACGGGAUGGAGUCACAGGUGGCAGCAGCAGCAAAGAAACGACGGUGGGCGUGCGCGUGGGAGCAGAUGUGAUCUGUUCGUGGCGGCUAGGGUUAGGAGACACCGCACACUUAGAUAGGCGCAGCCGCGUGGAGAGACGUGGGCUCGACCCACGUCCGAGUCGUGGCCCAGCUGUCAGAGAACUCUCCGUUAGUGACUGGCAAAAAUAAGCGCGUAGGUGUGAGCUCGGCUCGGCUCAAUCCCGCAACCCGCGGCGCGGCGCGGCGCGGCGAGGCGUAGCGAGGCGGGCGGCGGAGGAGGAGUGCGCGAGGGCCUCUUCUCUUCUCAAGCUCCAAUAGCAUGUAGAAGAGAAACCCUUAUAAGGAGGUCCAACUCCUCUUCCACUUCCGGAGUGGGACUAAACUUCCCACUACACCUAGUGCCCACAUGGGCCCUUAGAGAUUUUUCAGAAAUUGCUAUAUGGGCCUAGAGCCCAUCUCAAAUUUCAGCACCAGAUGCAUCGUGCCAUGGAACACUCAAGCAGAGAAUGACGCCAUGAGUCUUCUGCACCACAUAGCCCACAAGUGUUCAUCAUGGACAUGUUCCGAUUAGCUCUCACAUCCUCGGUAAGAAGAGAUUGCUUUGCCAAAUGCAAUAAGAACAUAUGAAUUUUGCCAGGCACUUGCAUUUUCUAAAGGAGCUUCCAUGAGGCCGUGUCUAGAUCAUUACUUGAUGACCCUGUUGUCCCGUCGAGCCAUGCUUCCCUUCUUAUCUUUGUGUCAAUCAUCAUUCUAUAUGCCGAACGUACUAUUUUUUUUUGUUUUUCUCAAAAUGCCAUGCCCAUGAAUCUGCCAUAUUGAUGGUGCAUAGAGGAAUGCUCAGGAUAGCUGGCAUGUCCAUUGGGAGGCAAACCUCCUAAAGGCGCUCCAAGUUCCAGGUCGAGGAGUUGUGAUCAAUUAGCUCCGAGACAUAUUCCGGGGGUCGUUCGAACGACUACCAUAAAGGCGCAACAUUUCAUUACUGGAUAUCCAGUUAUCCGAUCAAUCCCUCGUGGUUUCACCAUUGCCAAUCCGCCUUAUCAAACCUUACUUUAAGACAUCUCGACCCUUGAUGUGGCUUGUCGUUGUUUAGGUUUUCGUCCGGUUUUCCUUUAAUAAACCAAGCAAUCAGGUUCAUGUACCGCCUUUCUUCUUACAAUGUACUCUCUCUUUCCAAAAAUACUUGUCAGAGAUAUGAAUAAAAAUGGAUGUAUGUAGAAUUAAAACACACCUAGAUACAUCCAUUUCUGCGCCAAGUAUUUCAGACGGAGGGAGUAUAUAACAGCUCUCCUGUGAGUGAGGCGUUUUGGCUCUUGGCCUCCAUGGAGGCCGAUUUUUUGAAAAAUUCAAAACUCAAACUUUUUAGUUUAAAAGAAUCUGGAAAAAUUGUACAAGUAAACAAGGAUGUUAUGCCUAUGUGUGUAAAAUUUCAGAACGAAAUACAUUAAAAUGUGAUCGGUACAAAAAGACAAAUUUAUCUCCUGGGAGGAUGAAUAGUAUCAUGUGUUUUGUUCUCUUUUCAGCGUACAAAAAAAAAACA